GAAUUAAUUAACUUUGACGGGUUCCAUGAAAGAAGAAGCAGAAAUAUAAACAAUAGAGAAGAAGAGAUGAUAUCGAAAUCACUUAUUCUUAGACAUGGUCGAAGAUACACAUGCGGUAAUUUAUUAGGAAGCAAGAUCGUAUAGCCGAUGGGCUAAUGACUCAUGCAUUUAUUAUAGAUGGAUAUAUAGAGAGUGUUCAACGGGGGCAGAUGCAGGGGCCCAUUCCGCACUUGGACGUCACAGUGCAUAAAUUCCGAUUCAUAGGAAACGGCAGUUUCAUCAUCUUCUCCCACACUGCGCUGCACCGGCAAUUAUCCGAGCUCAGCUGCCUCAGCUCCUCGCAGCACUCCUCCAGGUAUUUCUCCUCGGCGGCCACGCGGCUCCUCAGGAACGCGCCGCCGUAGGGCUCGCUCAUCGCCCACUUAAUGCAGCUCUUCAUCGCCACCUCCGACUCGCACUGCUCGGCCUUGAAGGCGGAGGCGCUGGCCACGGUCACCGCGGCGAAGAAGAGGAGAGUGAGAGCUGUCAGCUUGGCCAUUUGGUAAGUGGUGAUAUCUAACAAGAUGCUUGUUGUGUGGAUGAUAGGAGUGAGGAAGUAGGAAUGGAUAGCGCCGUAUUUAUAGAGGAUUUAAGCGAUUUGAGUGGCUGCCCUUUUAUGCAUGUGUUAAUUAAUGUGAUCACAUUUUAUAAAUGGGCUGCCAUUUUAUGCAUGUGUUAAUUAUGUGAUCACAUUUUAUAAAUGGGCUGCCAGUUUAUGCAUGUGUUAAUUAUGUGAUCACAUUUUAUAAAUGGGUGUGCAUUGACGUUGGUCGGUUUAAUUUCUCUACGUUUUAUUUAUAAUACAUUAUUCUAUUCAUAUAAUUCCUUCCAUGUGAUGAAUUGGUAAAACGAAGAAAGACAAAACCCCAUCCAUGUUGAUGAAAGAUAUAUAUGACCUAGAUUAGUAUAUAUUGGAAAUAUUCUGAUCAAUUUUAAUUAAUUAGUAAAUAAUUAAAUUAUUAAAUUAAUUAAUGGGAGAUAGAAGAAAAAUCCAACCUAUUUAUCUAAGAUAAUAGGCGGCUAUUACUCCUAUAAAAAUAGGAAUAGAUUUCUUUUGUCAGACAUUUGAAAUCACACAUAAACACAAGAGAGAAAAUUUCUACCUGCAGACAUUUAAAGAAUUCAAUCGGAGAUUUUCUACCUUUCGAAGAUUGAAUUGUGCACUGAAGAGCUGGUAUUGUUUUUGCAUAUGAUCUGCAAUAUAUGUAGAUAUCAUAGUUGUAGAUUCAACUGCAGUAAUUUCUACAAGAUUAUUUGCUACGUAGUAGGUAAUUUAUUUUAACUACUUUAAUUAUUUAUGUGUUUAUAAUCUCUACAUACUAAUUGUUUAUAUCACUAGAUCAUAUUCUUCACUAUUAUUUAUGCUACCUAUUAUUAGAUGAUGUCAAAUAUUUUCAACAGUGAUAUUAGAGCUCGGGGCUCGAUAUAUAAUUGUCUUCGUGUUCUUAUUACAUUGAGCUAGAAAGAUGUGAUGAAGAAAGACAGAACUCCAUUCAUGUUGAAUCAAACUAGGUCGAUUUGGAAAUUAGGACAAUAACUUUUGGAUUUGUAAAAAUAGGACACUAAUUAAUAAGUUGUUGCACCCGCAGGACAUUUAUGGGCCAAUUAUUGAAUUUUGGGACUUUUUUGCACGGACCAAGCAUAUAACGAUCCGCACAGAGGGGUUGAUUAUGUGGCAAUCACGUCAUUUUUAUGGCUCCAGAUAGGAUGUCAUGUGCUUGGUCCAUGCAGGAAAGUCCGAAAAUUUGAUAAUUGGCCUAGAAAUGUCCUGCGGGUGCAACACUUAUUAAUUAGUGUCCUAUUUUUACAAGCCCAAAAAUUAUUGUCAUAAUUUCCAAAUCAACCUAAGUUACUGUCCUAAAAAAUUCUCUGACUCUUACAUUGAUCUAGAAAGAUAAAACCCGCAUUAUUACGCAUGGCAUGAGCUAGCUCUAGCUUAUUUAUAGGCGAGAGUUUAAGGUAGUUUGCUCGUAUUAGGUUAUACGGUUUACAAUGAAAUAUAUUAUAGACUAUAGAUUAGAAUAUAUUUGAUAUAUUUUAAUAACCUUUAAUUAAUUAGUAAAUAGUUAGAUUAUUGAAUUAAUUAAUUGAACAGAAAAGAAAAAUUCCGUCUAUUAAUCUAGGAUUACAAAUGUGUAUUAUAGGAAUAUAUUUCUUUGUCCGAUAUAUGUAAUAUUAUAAAAACACUAGAGAUAAAAUACUUGGAGCAGCACUAUUGAAUUCAAUUGGAGAUUUGAAUAUUCCUACAUCGAAUCUGCAUUAUACGUGGAUAGCUUAGUAGUUGAUUCAAUUGCAGAAUUGCUAUAGGAUUGUUUGCUACACAACAAGUAAGUUAUUAUAUAGCUAGCUAUUGUGUUUAUAAUCUCUAUACACGAAUCACUUGUAAAUCUAGAUCUUAUCCUAGAUUAUAUUUUUCAUUGCGUAUCAAUAGAUGAUGUCAAGAAUUUCUAACAAUGGUAGGAGAGCCCGGGGCUUGAUUUAUAUAAUUGUUUUUUGUUUUAAUUAAUUAUGGGUAAAUUAAAUUUGAUUUAGAGAUCUGAUUUUGGAAAUUAACGAUUUUGAAUUGGAAUAAAAAUUUAUGAAAUUUGCUGGGCAAUUUAAUAUUGACCAGCUUGCUCCGAUUCUUCACCGGAUUUUGAUUCAUCGCCAGACAACCGUAUCGCCGUGCAAGUGAGGAGGGUGAAAAAAAACGAGGAGGCGAUAGUGGCUCGGGCUAGCCGGUGUGCUAGUGAUAAAGGAUCCGUUGAGUGAGCCCCUUGAAUUCUUCUUUCGCAUGGUCGAAAGAGUUUGAGAGUGAAAGAGAGUUUCUUGAUAUCUGAUGUAACCUUGGAGGUGUUAUAAGAGCAUCAAAUGGGGCUCGAAAAAAGGCUCGAGCCCCCCUGCUCCGCGCCCUCCACCGUUGCCGCACCGAGGGUGCAUGAGCCCGCCUCCCCUCUUCGCAUCGGACUCAAACUGGGAAAAGGUUGGGCGCGUCUCCAGCACCGCCCAAUCAAAAAUUCGCCGCAAUUAAAAAAUAAAAAUAAUAAAAAUCUGUUUUUAAUGUUGGAACUAGUAUAAACAAAUACAACAUAUGUUUCAAAAAUAUAAUAUAAUAAUUCAGAUCAAUUACUCAAUAAAAUCAUGAAUUUAAAAAUAUAAAUUUUCAAUUUAUACAAAGUGCAAUGAUAAUUAUAAUUAUUAAAUAAAUUUAAAAAUUAUUUGAUAAUGAAAAUUUGCAUUAUGCAUAAUAUUAUAUAUUAUUACACAUCAUAAUAAAUAUUUUCAUACACAAACAUCAAUAAAAAGUUGUAAUUUUUAAAUGAAGAGAUAGAAAAUAAAAUAUUUUAUACUUUUCAUAACUUAUUCGUUUUAAAUUCGUUUUUGAUGAUUUUUAUACUAUAUUGAAUUUAAGAUCCAUAUGAUUAUUUUUUCAUGAAUUAAAUUUGAUGAUGUUUUAGAAAAUAAAUAAAAUAUAAUAACAUAAAAAGAAAAAAAAGUGAAAAAUUGGUGGAAGAAGAGAUUAGAAAAGAGAGGGAACACAUGGAAGGGAAAAACUCCUCUUUUAUUACUCCGUACUAUAUAGAUUGUCAAUUCUAAUCUAAUAUUAAAUUUAAUUAAGACAUAAUAAUAACAAAUAUGUUAAUAUAAAGAAAUAUAAAAAUUACAAAAUUUUAAUAAAUCUAAAUCAUAUUUGAAAAUCUUUUUUUAAGAUUUAAUUAAUUAAUUAUCUAUAAAUUUAUAUUAAUAUAAAUUACAACUUUUAAAAUUUAUUUUUAAGCUAAAGAGUUCUACAAUGAACAAAUAUAAGUCUAAUCUUUUUAGUUACAUUAAAUUGUUAUAGCAAAAAAAAUAGAAAUAGAAAAUAUUAAAAAAUGAUGUCUAACAAAAAUAUAAAAAAUAAAAUAAAAUAAAUAUUAGAAAAAGAACGAAAUAGGAAAAAAAGAAAAUAAAAAAAAAAUGAACGUGAUAUUCAAAGAAAGGAGGUAGGAGAGAGGAGAGUAUAGAUGAGAGAUGAGAGAGAAAAAAAUAAUUUUGUGACUUUAAAUGAUAAUAAUUUAUUUAUUUUAAAUUUAUUUUUAUAAUUUUUAUAUCAAAUUAAAGAUCUUAUCAUCAUCUUUAAUUUAACAUCCAUAUCAAAUAUUUUUUUAUAAAUAAAAGUUCAUGGUUUCUAAAAAAGAAUCAAAACAAAAAAUGAAAAGUGAAAAGAGAAAUUUUUGUAGAAAAAAUUCACGCAUGUUUUUUAUAUAUAUAUAGAUUAACUAAUAGAUGUCUAAUGAGUAAAUUGUGGGAUUGAUCGUGGGAGAGAGAAUAUAAUUUUUUAUGUGAGAGAGAAAAGACGACGGUAAAAUUUUACCGUUAAACUGUUCUUUUAUAUUAUAUAUAGAUUGUACCGUUGGAGGAGGCAGCCGUUGCUCAACAGAUGUUUUCAAUUUUUUUUAAUUAUUUCAAUUUUCCUUUAUAUAUAUAUCCCUCGUUCACUUCUUCAUUCAUAUCUCUCAUUCACUUCUCUCUAAUCCUUUUCUAAAAAAAAUGUCAUCAUCCAACAAUUCUUCAAAUCAUUCUUCCAUCAAUUCUUCAUAUGACGAAGAAGUUUCAAACACACGACUUCCUCCUAUUCCCAAUCCUAUGCAAAAUCCUGAAGGAUUUUUUAUGAGUCUUGCUGCAAAUUUCAUGCAAGUGGCGAGUUCAUAUCGAUUCGAUCCUCCUCCUCUACCGAAGAAGAAGCGUAAAGUUAUUCUCCGUGAUCGUGAAGGUGGUGGCGAGCGCCUGCAUCGAGAUUAUUUUGCUCCCGAUGCAAUUUAUCGGCCACAAUUAUCUAAAUUAAUGUUAAGUAAUUUUUCAUUACUUUUCAUUUUUUUAAUUUAAUGUAAUGUUUGAUUUUUAAUUUAAUGAAUUUUAAGUUAUUAAAUUUAAUGUUAAUUUUAAUUAAAAAUAACAAUAAAAUUAUAUAGAAAAUGAAAAUAGAAAUUAGAGAGUCAAGAGGUGGGUUGUCCCAUUGUGGAGAGUGGGCUCUUAAAUGGUAGAGACCAUAUUUAAGAGCCCACCUUAGCUCUCCAUUGUGGAUGCUCUAAGGUGCAGAUUGGAAAUGUAGAAACUUGGCUGAAGUGGGGCUAUCAAUUGGAGAUCAUGGUUGAUGGAAAUGAGUUUAAUUUAAUAGUUAUGAUGUGUUCUUGGCCAAUUAAAAUCCUUAUGGAAUACCUUUGAAAAAAAAAUUCCAUAUGAAAUAAGAAUUUGAUCUGUAAAAUUUCUUCAGAGUUUUACUAAAUAAAUAUCUAGUAGUCUAUAUAUGUUCGAAUGCUCAACUUGAAUAUAUAUGUAAUUCAUAAAAGUUUAGAUAAGUUAAAAUUUAUAAAAGAUUUGUAAAUCAUUUUAGUUGGAAUUAAAAAUAAAUUCGUUUUUAUUUCUUCGGCGUAAAUCAUCUUAAUCUAACUUCAAAAUUUCUCUAAACUUAGUAAAAAAGGAACAUGGUAUUACACUUUUUUAUAAAUAUUUUUGUAUUAAUUUUAAUAUAACUUUGUAGAUGAAUAAGUAGUAUAUAUAUAUAUAUAUAUAUGUGUGUCAAUAUAUUAAAGUAGCCUAUUUUAUAUAGCAAAAUUAAAAUUUAGCCUAGAGGAUAAAAACAUAAAAUUUUAGCCACUUUUUGCGCGAAAAGACUAAAAUACCCCUCCAUAAAUAUGGGCAAAUUCUGUCUGUGUAGCAUCGCUCCUUCUCUUCCUUCUCUCUCUCGCUCUCUCUCCCCUCUUCUCUCUCUGUGUGCUCAUCGUAUAAGCAGCGUCGUUCAUCCGCAGUCGGCGGCGGAGCAUCAUUCUUCUCCGGCGUCGGUGCUGGCGCUGGAGGCAGUUCCUGCCGAGGUUCAGAGGUGAGGGGGAGCAACGGCGGUGGCGGUCUGUGACUGUCGGCGCUGGGAAUCGAAAUUAGAGGCGGCAAUUUUCGGAUCUAGGGCUGAGUGUUGAAAGAGAGAUGGGAGGGAGAUUUGGGGGAGUUGCGAUGGCAGCAGCUCUGCCACUGCUCGGAGUCAUGGUUCUGAUGAAGAAGAACGUGCUCGGAGUGAACAACAUCGCGGCGUUGGUCACCGAUCGAAUCGACGAACUUUUGGGGAGGAAGAUCGCGCUACAGCUCAUCGGCAUCUUCACCCCCUUCCGAUGCAUGUACUCCGACAGAAACUCCAAUCCAGCAAAAUAAUUGACCUCCGCGUAGCCGCUGCCCCCGCCGAAGAGGAGACCGCUAAAGGCAGCGAAGAAGAGGCGAAAUUGGAUGUUUGGAUGAAGGAAAGGAAAGUGUUAUGCACAUUUCACUAAAUAAUUGUAAUCAUUAUCUUUAUUUCCUUUGAAAUUUUCGAUGUGAAAUUUGAUUGUAUUUUUUUGGAAACAUUUCUCCCUAUUGUUUCCAUUUCUUUUGGAUGUUAGUAUUUUUUCAACAAUGCUCAUUUAAUUCUCUCCCGUUAUAACCAUGUUUGUGAUGAAGGAUUUUCUGCACAAGCAAUAUUUUGAAUAUAGCAUUUGGUAAUAAUAGUGUUGUUCGUUUAAUUCAUGCCCAUUAAUUGUUAUUAUUCAUGAAUUUAUUAAUUGUGAAAGGUAAUAUUUACCAGUUUAUGAAUUUGUUAAUUCAUGUGAAUUAAUUGCUCGAUCUCCUUUUUCUUCUCGAGUAUAUCGGAUCUGAGGCUUUGUUUUUGAACGAUGAUUUGUGAGUUUUAUUGGAGACAUUUGAUCGAUUGAAAGAGAAAGAGAUUUUGAAUGAUUGAUUAAAGCUCUUGAAUUCACAAUCACAUUUAUGAAUUCACAACUUAAUGUUCUUGAAUUCACAACCAGAUCUAUGAAUUCACAAUUUAAUGUUUUUGAAUUCACGUUCAUAUCUAUAAAUUCACAACUAGAUCUAAUACACAAUCACGACUAGAUCUAUAAAUUCACAACUCAAUGUUUUUUGAAUUCACGACCACAUUUAUGAAUUCACAACUUAAUAUUUUUGAAUUCACAACCAGAUCUAUGAAUUCACAUUCAAAUACAUUACAAUUUUAAUUGUGAAUUCAAACUUUAAAAACUCAAAUUCACAACUACUUGAAUUCACAACCAAAAUAAAUUCUAGUUGUGAAUUAAAUUCAGAUUGUGAAUUCGACUGAUUGUGAAUUCACAACCAACAUAAAUCUGGUUGUGAAUUAAAUUUUGGUUGUGAAUUCGUUUGGUUGUGAAUUCACAACCAAAAAAUUCUAGUUGUGAAUUAAAUUUUGAUUGUGAAUUCGUCUAGUUGUGAAUUAAAUUUUGGCUGUGAAUUCGACUAGUUGUGAAUUAAAUUUUGGCUGUGAAUUCGACUAGUUGUGAAUUCACAAACAAAAAAUUCUGGUUGUGAAUUCGACUGAUUGUGAAUUCUCAAUUCACAACCAGUGUGAAUUCACAACCUAAAAUUUUUUGGUUGUGAAUUCACACUGGUUGUGAAUUGCGGGUAUUUUUUAAAGGGGGAUGUAAAGUGGACUAUUUUUUUUAAUUUUAAUGUGAAGGGUAUUUUGAUAACAAUGGACAUUUUUUAAGUUUUUUAUUUUAGUGGACAUUUUUUAUCUUUAUAAUAUGAAAGUGGACCAUUUUAAAAAUGCACUCUUUCUAUUAUANNNNNNNNNNNNNNNNNNNNNNNNNNNNNNNNNNNNNNNNNNNNNNNNNNNNNNNNNNNNNNNNNNNNNNNNNNNNNNNNNNNNNNNNNNNNNNNNNNNNNNNNNNNNNNNNNNNNNNNNNNNUAUAUAUAUAUAUAUAUAUAUAUAUAUAUAUAUAAAAGUAUAAUUUCAAAUAUUAUUUUUUAUUUAUAUUUGUGUAUUAGUAUUUAUUUAUUUAUUUAUUAUGAUGCGUAAUACUUUAUAAUUAUAAUAAUAAUAAUUUUCAUUAUCAAAUAUAAUUUUCAAUUAUUUAAUAACUAGAGUUAUCCUUACACUUUAUACAAAGUUGAAAAUUUACGUUUUCAAAUUCAGGGCUUUAUCGAGUAAUUGGUGCAAAUUAUUUUAUCAUAUUUUUAAAAUAUAUUUUACAUUUGUAUAUAUUUUGACUAUUUAAUAUUUAUAUUUAUUUAUUUAAAUAUUAUCGUUUAAUUUCGAUACUCGUUGUACAUCGCACGGGAGAACGUAUUAAUAACGGUUAUUAAUAUAAGUCUUUUAAUAUUUUUAAAAUCGAUCGCUAAUUCAGUUGUUAAAAAUAAAUUUUUUAAUUUUAUUUUUUUAUAUUUUAUUCUUAUUUUAAAAUCGGUAAGAAUUUCUUAAACAUUUUUUAAAAUAUAAUUCACAAAUAUAUUAAUAUAUUUUUAUUAUUUUAAAAUUGAUUGUUAAUUAUGUCGUAUCUCUUUCGCCGACACCACAAGUCUUAGAUAUCUUUCUCAACAUAUUGAUGGGGAGUUUAAAUGAAUUAAUAUGUGCUAAUUAUAUCAAUAAUACACAUAUUCUAUCGAAAAAAAACUUCUAACUUAAUUGUUCUUGACUUAUAGUACUUUCAGGAGGGGUGACCCACAAUUAUAUUUAAUAAUUCAAAUUCAGUUAUAUAUAUGCUAGCAUUUGGACCCAUGCAAUGCACAAGAAUAAUUUUAUAUUUCGUUAUUCAACAUUUCUUUAAAUAACUAUAUAUUAACAAAACGAAUUUAAAAUACAAAAGAUAUAGACAUAAUUUACAGUCUCAAUUUAUUAGGUAUUUCUUCAAUUUUUUAUAUUAAUUAUGAUUUUAAAUUAUCUUUAAUUUACAAAAUCGUCAUUUAAAUCAAUUUAAAAUUAAUAGUUACAUUUUUAAUAUAGUAUAGAUGAGAUACAACUAUACAAGUGACAAGUCUAGUGAUGGAAGGGCAUUUUCGUAAUACAACUAAAGAAGUUUUUUUUUUUUUUUUAAAGGUUACUNCCAUAGGUUCCUAAAAUAGCUAAAAGAAUUCAAAAUACCAAGUUUUUGGUGAAUUGACCAAUUUAACCAUAAUCUAUAUUUAUACUAAUAUAAAAAUUGUAUUAGGUAUGAUAUUAAUUUAUUUUUAUAGUCUUAUUAGACCAUCUUCGUCGGUUCUAUUAGUGUUUUGUUCUUAGGUGGAGCUUGUGUUCGGCAUUAAGUUUAGGGUGCAUGAGUUUAGAAAUCUGUUUUCUAUGAGGCACUAUUGUUGCUCACUGAGGUGUAGUCUUUUUUUUUUCUUUGCUUAACGCUCUUAGUGUUGUUCUUUGUGAUUGUUUUGUCUCUGUGGCUUAGUGACUUUGUGGCUUUCUUUUAUGAUGAUCUUUGUAUCGCUUGUUAUCUUCGUGAUCCUGUGUGCUUUGUGAUUUGUGCUAGCUCUAUUUGUGGUUAUUUUUCGUGGUCUUUUGUGUUCGACUAUCCUUAUGUUAGUUUGCUUCGUGCUUGGUGUUGUUUUUCUCUUGGGUGUGUUUUGCAAGAGUUAACAUGGUUAGUUUACCAUUUGAUCUUUGUGGUCUUAUGUUUCCCUAUUUUAUCUUUGUGAUCUUACAAGGGGCAUCGACGAUGAUGAUUAUUUGUUGAGUUUCCUCUUUGAUGCACACAACACCACGAUUGGGCCAAAUGUGAAGAUGUUGUUUGUUGGCCCAAUAGCUCAAUACGGCCCAACCCCUUACCUUGUUAUUUUGGAACGCCCCCUAUUCCUUCCCUCUGUACUUCGGUUUGUGUCCGUUGCUACUUCUUUCCUUCUCUGCAAUUCUUUCUUUUACAGUCUUUUCUUUGGGGCUUUUUAAGGUACCGCUGCAACUGUAGGUGCGCAAGUUAAUGAAUUAUUGGUCGUGUUGUCUGCGUUGUUGUUGUUCCGUCCAUUGGUGCUGCGUUGCUGCCUCAAGUGGAGAUCAUAUGCCAACGACGUCGAGGAUCUAUACCCAACAAGUUUAUAAGCUUUGGCCAAUUGUGGGAAAGAAGGCAAACCACUAGGUGAGCUUUGUAUCACUUCAUUAUCAUCCUAAGUGGGAGUAGGGCUUUGUGAACUUGAAGCCUUGAAUGGCGGGCCUCAGUUGAGAAAGAUGCAACCUCACAAACUCGGAGCUCUCGGCCAGAUCGCGCCAUGACAUGCAAACACACUUGGUUUGCAGCUCACAAUCGGAUGGGGAGUUUUGAGAUGAUGUUGAUGAUCAUUUCUUGGGGCAGAUUAUUGAAGCGAUCUCGAUCCUGAUUGGUCUGUAUAUUUUGGAGAAUUUGCAAGACAUAAUUUGAGGGAAUAAUUGAGAUCCUGAUUGGUCCGCAUAUUUUGGAGAAUUCGCAAGAAAUAAUUUAAGGAAAUAAUUGAGGAGAGUUUGGGGAGAGAAGAGAAGAACGAGAUGAGGGUGAAGAGAAGAAGAUGCUUUGUGAUGAAAUUUUGUGAUAACAAUUGCCUAGUUCUACAACUAUAUAUAAUUGAUUAAUCCUAGAACUGGUGGACAAUAUUAAUCAAGAUAAUUUGUUAGGUUUCCUUGUACGAAUUGGUGUUAACAAAAAUUUCCUAGUUUUACCACAAAUGUAUAAUUGAUUAAUCCUAUUAUAACUACUAGUGUAUAACCCGUCGAAAUUUCGACGGGACUUUAAAUUAUGUAUAUUAUUUUUACAUAAUAUAAUUAUUUUUAAUUAAUUUAAUUUGAUGUAAUAAAAUUUACAUUAUAUUAAUCUCAAUUAUAUUCGUCAAUUAAAUCUUAGUUUUUUUGCUAAAAUAAUAAAAAUACUUGUUUAUAUAAUUUUUUUUAUACUUUUUCUAUUUUGACGCAUAAAAGUUAAUUUAAGAUCUCAUAUGUCAUAUAAGCAUCAUCUCAUCUCAACUCUGUAAGAUUAGAAGAUCAUCAAGAACUCGAAAGACAAUAUUUGACUUUUGAACGCUAAACUUUUAAGCAUUAUUUCGUCUGGAUCCUGAAACACUAUAUCUGACUUUUAUGCGUCAAUCGUUUGAACAUCAUCACUAUCUGAUGCUUUAAAUAUCAUAACUCACUUCUUAAACAUUAUUUCAUUAGGAGCUUGAAAGACCAGGACUGACUUGUGAGAUUAUACAAUUUGAAGCUUAUAAGAUCAUAACUAACUUUUAAACAUCAUCUUGUAUGGAGCUUGAAAAAACAUAACAGACUUAUGUGCAUCAUCUCAUUUGAUGCUUAAAAUACCAUAACAGCAUUUCAAGUAUCAUUUCGUUUGAAGUUUGAAAUAAUAAAACUGGCCAGUAAGCAUCAUCUUGUUUGAAGUUUGAAAGACCAUAACUAAGUUUUAAGAAUCAUCUCGUCGAAGGCUUAAAAAAUUGAUAUGAGAUUCAAAUUAAUUCAUGUCAAUUUAUAUGCGAAUAUUUAUUUAUCAUAACUAUUUUAUAUCCUACGUGGCACUCUCACAAUUUAUUAUUUGCUUCACCCUCAAUUCUAUACUAUAUGACAUUUUUACAUUUGUUUUCAUCAAUCCAACAUUGAGUUUAUACAAAACUUCAUCAAUUCAUAACCUAAAUAAAAGGCUCAAUUUCCAUGAAUACAUUAGCUCAUCUAUCUUUCCCACAUUGAUAUUCUUUUAAAUUUAAUCAAGGAAAAAUCUAGAUAAAAAAAAUACUUGUAAUAUGUAUUUCAAAUAAAUAGUUUUCAUUUUUUUUUUAUAAUUGCAAUAGCUUUUUGCAGUAAAUUUAUAUUAAACUUCAUAAUUAAAAGUCUAAAAAAAAAUUGUAAUUAGAUUUAAAUAUUUGCAAACCUCAAUAAAAAUAUAUAUGUUUUUAAAAUAAAUAGGUUCGUCAAUUGAAUGUUCAAUUUUUUGAUAAAAUAAUAAAAAUACCCUUUUAUAUAAAUUUUGUACGAUUUUUCUGUAUUGACGGAUAAAAGUUAAUUUAAGAUUCAUAUGUCAUAUAAGCAUCAUCUCAUCUCAACUCUAUAAAACCAGAGGAUCAUCAAGAACUCAAAAAAUAAUAUUUGACUUUUGAACGCCAAACUUUUAAGCAUUAUCUUGUCUGGAUCCUGAAACACUAAAUUUGACUUUUAUGCAUCAAAUAGUUUGAACAUCACUAUCUGAUACUUUAAAUAUCAUAACUCACUUCUAAAUAUUAUUUUCAUUAGGAGCUUGAAAGACCAUGAUUGACUCGUGAGGUUAUACAACCUGAAGCUUAUAAGAUUAUAACUAACUUCUAAACAUCAUCUUGUUUGGAGCUUGAAAAAACAUAAUAGGCUUAUGUGCAUCAUCUAAAAUACCAUAAUUGAGUUUCAAGCAUCAUUUCCGUUUGGAGUUUAAAAGAAUAUAACUGGCUAGUAAGUAUCAUCUUGUUUGAAGUUUGAAAGACCAUAACUAAGUUUCGAUAAUCAUCCCGUCUAAGGCUUAAAAAGAUUAAUACGAGAUUCAAAUUAUAUCAUAUAAAUUUAUUUAGUAUCUCAAUUGGUAAAUUUUCAUAAAAAAUCAAUGUGUAAUCCAACUUUUACAAAUAAAAAAAUUGUGCAAAAUAUCUUAUUUUAUGACAAAAUUUAAAUGAAGAAUUAUUUAUUUAAUCACAAGUAUUUAUUUUUAAAAAUAAAAUUAAAUAAUUUUUUAUUUAACCAAAUAAAAUUGAUCAAUCAUUCCACCAAUUAAAUGUGAAAAUUUGGUUUGAAGAGUAAGAACAUCCGUUUAUAUAGGUUUAAUUUUGGUGAAAUCACAUAAAAAAUCAAUAUGGGAUGAAAAUAUUUAGAUAAAUAAGAAUGAAUAAAUAUUAAAAUGCAAAAAUAUGAUGAUGCAAAAUAUAAAUUAAUAAUUGGUUGAUAAUUAGGAUAAACCAAAUAUUAAAAUCUUUGGAAAAUUAGGAUAAAUAAAAAUGCAAAAAUAUGAUGAUGCAACAUAGGAGUAUUCCUACUUUUUUAUUAUAUAUGUGAUGAUAUUAAAGAUAAUUUAUUUGAAAUUAUUUUUCAUGAUCAAAUUAAAUUGAAGAAUCUAUUUAUUUUAAAUGCAUCUCAUCAAAAGUAUCCUUUUAUUUAUGUCUUUUUCAUGAUGAAGUUCAAUUUAAGAUCAAUGCAAGAAUGAUAAAAUAUCAACGUGGAACGAUGAUAAGCUAAUAUAUGCAUGGAGAUUAAGCCUUUUUUUAGUGCAAAAAUAUAUAUGAAAUAAUUUAAUUUGAAAUAAAUGCCAUAUAUGAGAAUGUGUUAGAUCAACACAUUCUUACAAAACUUCAUCAAUUCUACACUUAUUAUGACCAUAAUGAUAUAUCUUAGUAUCAUUUUCUUUAUUUUNCUGAAGCUUAUAAGAUUAUAACUAACUUCUAAACAUAAUCUUGUUUGGAGCUUGAAAAAACAUAAUAGGCUUAUGUGCAUCAUCUAAAAUACCAUAAUUGAGUUUCAAGCAUCAUUCCGUUUGGAUUUAAAAGAAUAUAACUGGCUAGUAAGUAUCAUCUUGUUUGAAGUUUGAAAGGUCAUAACUAAAUUUCGAUAAUCAUCUCGUCUAAGGCUUAAAAAAAUUAAUACGAGAUUCAAAUUAUAUCAUAUAAAUUUAUUUAGUAUCUCAAUUGGUAAAUUUCCAUAAAAAAUCAACGUGUAAUCCAACUUUUACAAAUAAAAAAAAUGUGCAAAAUAUCUUAUUUUAUGACAAAAUUUAAAUGAAGAAUUGUUUAUUUAAUCACAAGUAUUUAUUUUUAAAAAUAAAAUUAAAUAAUUUUUUAUUUAACCAAAUAAAAUUGAUCAAUCAUUCCACCAAUUAAAUGUGAAAAUUUGGUUUGAAGAGUAAGAACAUCCUUUUAUAUAGGUUUAAUUUUGGUGAAAUCACAUAAAAAAAAUCAAUAUGGGAUGAAAAGAUUUAGAUAAAUAAGAAUGAAUAAAUAUUAAAAUGCAAAAAUAUGAUGAUGCAAAAUAUAAAUCGAUAAUUGGUUGAUAAUUAGGAUAAACCAAAUAUUAAAAUCUUUGGAAAAUUAGGAUAAAUAAAAAUGCAAAAAUAUGAUGAUGCAACAUAGGAGUAUUCCACUUUUUUUAUUAUAUAUGUGAUGAUAUUAAAGAUAAUUUAUUUGAAAUUAUUUUUUAUGAUCAAAUUAAAUUGAAGAAUCUAUUUAUUUUAAAUGCAUCUCAUCAAAAGUAUCCUUUUAUUUAUGCAAGAAUGAUAAAAUAUCAAUGCAAGAAUGAUAAAAUAUCAAUGUGGGAACGAUGAUAAGCUAAUAUAUGCAUGGAGAUUAAGCAUUUUUUUAGUGCAAAAAUAUAUAUGAAAUAAUUUAAUUUGAAAUAAAUGUCAUAUAUGAGAAUGUGUUAGAUCAACACAUUCUUACAAAACUUCAUCAAUUCUACACUUAUUAUGACCAUAAUGAUAUAUCUUAGUAUCAUUUUCUUUAUUUUAUAUGACGAAAUUAAAUUGAAUAACUUAUUUAUUUAAAAUACAUUUAAGUAUUAUUUUAUUUUAUAUGACCAAAUUCAAUGAAGAACCUAUUUAUUUUUAAAACAUCUAUUAUUUAUUUAGGUUUGCAAAUAUUGAAAUCUAAUUACAAUUUUUUUUAGAGUUUGAAUUAUGAUGUUUAAUAUAAAUUUAAUGUGAAAAACUAUUGCAACUAUAAGAAAUGUGAAAAACUAUUUAUUUGAAAUACAUAUUAUAAGUAUUUCUUUAUCUAGAUUUUCCCAUGUUUAAAUUUAAUAGAAUAUCAAUGUGGGAAAGCUAGAUGAGCAAAUGUACUCAUGGAGAUUGAGCCUUUUAUUUAGGUAAUGAAUUGAUGAAGUUUGGUAUAAAUUCAAUGUGGGAUAAAUGAAAAUAAAUGUAAAAAUGUCAUAUUGUGUAGAAUGAGAAUGAAGUAAAUACUACAUUGUGAGAGUGCCACAUAGGAGAGAGAGUGAUGGAAAAUGCUCCAAUAUGUAUCAUAUUAAAUAAUAGAUAGAUUAUACGUGCAUUACAAACAACUAGCUUAUUAGUGGAUUUAUAAUAAUUUAUUUGCUAUUCACAUUUUUCAUGAAAAAUAACAAGUUAAAGUAAGAAUUCUAUUAAAUAAAAUAAGAACGUAGAACCAUUUUUAGCCAUCCGUUCAGUAAGAUCUACGGUGAAAACAUCAUCUUGAUGAAUAAAUGCAGCACUAGAUUUGAAUUCUGAAAUGAAAGAAAUUUUUAUUUUUUCCGAGUGCAGUAAAUUUAGCGGCCUAUCUAAUGGAUAUCACCGCAUUACUAAAGUUGUAGGUGAGAUGAUGGAGUUGAAUUAACUUUGAGGGGGGUUCCAUGAACGAAAAAGCAGAAAUAUGAACGAUAGAGAAGAAGAGAUGAUAUCGAAAUCACUUAUUCUUAGACAUGGUCGAAGCGGUAAUUUAUUAGGAAGCAAGAUCGUAUAGCCGAUGGGCUAAACUCUUUGGGUGUGAUGUAGAAGUGAGAGUCGAUGAGUGUUCAACGGGAACAGGUAGCUAGGGCUAUAAACAAAUCAAGUCGCUCGCGAACUAUUCAGAGUUUGGCUUGAAAAAAACUCGUUCAAGUUCGUUUAAAGAAGCUCGUAAAAUAAACAAACCAAACUUGAGCUUAGUAGUAUUCGGCUCGUUAGCUCAUGAACAUGUUCGUCAAGUGAUUCAGCUUGAAAAAUAUAAAUUAUUAGUAGACAUAACUUAUAUUUAUCCACUAAAAUUAAUAAUAAUUGUUAAAUCUCUAAUUAAUUUUGUUUGUUAUAAUAAAAUAAUUAAUAUAUUUAUUAUUUUAAAUAAAAUAAUUUAUUUUUAAAAUAUAAUAAUCAAUAUUUUUGAAUAUAAAUAUAAAUUUAGAAAAUUCGUAUAGACUCCUCAAAGUAUUCGGUAAGUAAAGUUCGGGAUUGGAUUCGAUACUUAACAAAUCAAACUUGAGCACAUCACUAUUCGGCAGCUCGGUUCGAUUACACCCAGGGGCUCAUUCCGCACUUGGGGGCGACUCAUAGGCAACGGCAGAUUAAUCAUCAUCCCCCUCACUGCGCUGCACCGGCAAUUAUACGAGCUCAGUUGCCUCAGCUCUCCUCGGAGCACUCCUCAGGAACGAACCGGCGUAGGGUUGGGUCUUCGCAUACAUCAUGCAGCUCUUCAUCUCCACCUCCGACUCGCACUGCUCGGCCUUGAAGGCGGAGGCGCUGGCCACGGCCAAGAAGAGGAGAGUGAUAUCUAACAAGAUACUUGUUGUGUGGAUGAUGGUAGUGAGGAAGUGGGAAUGGAUAGCGCCGUAUUUAUAGAGGAUUUUAGCGAUUUGACUGCCUGCCAUUUUAUGCAUGUGUUAAUUUCUCUACGUAAUUCCUUCCAUGUGAUGAAUAUGUAAAACGGAUAAAGACAACUCCAUGCAUGUUGAUGAAAGAUAUAUAUGAACUAAUAUUUGAAAUACUAAUAAGUAGUCCGUCAAAAUUUGAUGGGGACUUAUUAUUAUAUAAAUAAAUUUAUAAAAUUAUUUAAUGUAAUUUUUAUUCAUUGAAUUCUAUUUCACUAAAAUAGAGUACUAAAUGAAAUUGUUUUAAAAUAAAUAUCGACCCACAAACUAAUAGUAAAAGAGAAACUGCAACUUUUAUUUAAAAAUACUAAAAUUAGACGUAAGCAUUUGUAACCAGUUACUAAAAAAAUUAAAAUAAAAUAAAUUAAAUAAUAGUAUCAAUAAUGACUUCAACUUUCAAAGUUUGAAUAAAUUAUUAAAUUUGGAAUUAAUUACCUCAUAAUCUAUCAAAAAUUUCAUCAUGCACCACGUGUUAAUUGUUGUGUCAUGCGUAUGACCACUCUCAUCACAUACUAAAAUCUUUAGACCUAUUUUUCUAGUGACUCUUGAGAUUGCCACGUACAGUUGUUCAUAUAUGACUAAAAACAGGUUUCGGUAGAUAUAAUCCUACAUUAUAAAAAGAUUAAUUUGUCCCUGACUCUUGUUUAUUGUCAUAGCAAAACAAACACUUCCACAAAAUUUUCUUCUCUGGAACUGAAUAGGAAAUUUAGUCUAAUCUGAUGGACUCAUAAUCAUUUUAGCUAUUGGAAACUUCUUGUCCGCAUUUUUUUCUGAAAUGAGUUUGCCUUCAAUUACUCGUUCCCCAAGUUGAGUUAUUAUCAGCCUAGUAGUAUUCCAAAGCUCAUUAGAUGAAUCUAUAUUUCUGAGAAUCAUGAUUAUGGAUCCUUGUUCCCUAUAGUUAAAAAAAAUCAUUUUUAUCUAAUAUACUGCCGUUUCAAGAUACUGUAGAGAAAAGUACAAAUACAAACGCUGUAAUACCCCGUUUCCUCGAGCUAAGUUUAGAAUAAUUUUGAAUUUAGAAUUAAGAUGAUUCACGCCGGAUUGAGGAAAAGAAUUUAUUUUAAUUCCAACAAAAAUGAUUUACAAAAGUAUUUGUAAAUUAGUUAUUAAAUUUAUAUGCAUUGCAUAUUUAUUUAAUUAACCAUUCAAGCAUUUAUCCGAGCUAUUUAUUUAGCAAAGCCUGACGAAUAUUACAGUCCUAAUAAUUUAAUCAGGAGAUAUUUUUCCUGAUAUUUUUUUUUCGCUCAACCUACUGCCGCCUCACUGUUCUCUCACUCCUUAAAUAUAUCUCCUCCGUUGCGCCCAAAUCAUUCUAUCUCAAUUCACUCACUUCAUCUCUCUCGUUCCAACACCCGGACUGAGCUUCAAACGCAGCAACCAUAGCUUGAUUCUCGAUUCACACAACAUCAAACUAGUUUCCCAACAUCUGCCAAGUUCAUCAAGCCAAGGUUUCAUCUAUGAACUCCAUUACCCUUUUAUUCAUACCAUGUUUAAAUAGAAUGAUAUUUCAAACAAGAAUCACACGCAUACAUGUGUAUCUGAGCUGUGCAUACUCUGUUUAUGUUUAUGCUUGCAUACUUGAUGUCUGUGUUAAAAGAAUAAGAAGAAAGGUAGAGUCUUGAGUUGGUUUUGGCUGUGUUGGGUCUGAGGUGCCGAGUCGGAGGGGUUGUUGCUGUUGGCGGCGACCUCGUCGUUUAUCGCCGGAGUGAGAGAGAAUCAGGGGUAGAGAAAGGGAGGGAGAUCGGUGGCUUUUGGGGAUCUAGGGCUCGGCGGAGGUGUGGCCUAGCGUUUCUGUCAGAUCUGGAGGAGAGGAGCGUACGGGUAGCGGCCGUGGCUUGCUGCGGUUGCCGAAAACAGAGGGAGGUGACGGCGCUUCGCCGUUGCCAAGGAGGUAAUCGGCGUGAGCUGUGCUGGUGGGAUGAGAAAGAGAGAGUCGGCGGGUGUUCAGAGGUUGGGGGUGAAGAGCAGAGUAGAGAGGUGUAGAGCAGAGUAGAGAGGGGCAGAGCAGAAUAGAGAGGUGAAGAGCAGAGCUGACUAGCAGAGCUUAAGAGCAGAGCUGACUAGCUAGCUGAAGAGCAUAGCCGACUAGCAGAGCUGAAAAGAUCAGAGCUGGAAUGACAGAGCUGAAAGAUCAGAGCUGAAUGCCAGAGCUAGAGAGCAGAGCUGGUUGAAGCAGAGCAGAGUAGAGUAGAGUAUAGUAGAGCAGAGCGGAGAAAGGGGGAGAGGCGGCAGUGGGCUGCCUUUGUUUUUAUAUUUUGGAUUUGUGCAUAUUUUAAGUAAACACUUUUUAUAUGCUUGAGUAUGAAAUGAGUCAUGCAUUGCAUCAUGAUUUAAUUGGUUAUUUAUAAUUCCAAUUGCAAAAGAAAGUCGAGUAAGAAUAUUGUUGGUGUUCUUAACUCAAGAGAAUUGUUUUCAAUUAUUUAUUCAUUAAAUUUUGAAAACCCGGCUAAGUGAAUCAUAGAAUGUUAAGCACUUUACCGUGACUUGAAUUUAGAUUUAAGAGACCUAUUAAGAAUAGAUUUCUUGUAGACUUUGAACGUCAGGAGGAUUAACACUACUAUUCCGAUUCAGAGAUAAGGUUAAACGACAAGCUUUGCCUAAACAGGUGGGCUUAUUUUCCAAAUGUAUGAUUGAGCUAAUGAGCUUAAAUGUUCGUGAAAUAUAAACUGUUUAUCCAAUAAAAUGUUUAUGUGCACUCUGCUCUGUUUAAGGCUCGCCACAACGAAUCAAUUGAGGUUCUCUUAUAGCCUAACACGUUAUUUGAGAAUUGUGUACACCGUUAGCUGACUCAGUGGGUUGAUCUCCAUCGGGCACUAACUAAGAGGCGUUAUAAGGGUGCUUGCUGGAUGUGUUCCGAAGCAUGUAAUGUAAGGGCCUGCCUGGGUAGCGUCCCGAGGUCAAAAGUAAACUUGUCUGGGUUACGCCCUCAGUUCAAGUAAAUGGGAGAAAUGGAUCUGUCGGUGGCUAAAAGGUCCGGGAUCAUAGCGAGUAACAGAAAUGAGUGUGACAACUGCGCGCAAAUUAAGUAUAUAUAUUAUAAUGAAAUGUUUUAACAUGCUUAGAAGUUCUUUCCUUUAAAAACCUUCUAAGUCAUGUCAAAUAUGAUUGGAUAAACUGCCCUUCAGAUUAUGAAAUGUUUCAAAAGUUGCAGCCCACUAAGUACAUUAGUACUUAGCCCAAAUAUCUUCAAAUUUUUUCAGGUUAAGGCUGGUGUGACGGGGCGAGCUGAGGCUAGGGUUCAACUCCGUGUUUUGACUUCGCUGUAACUAGAAUAUAUGUCUUUUUUUCCUAACUUAAGACUUUAUGUUGUGACUCUAAAACAAUAUUAUAUACUUGAGCGAGACUUAUUCGCAAGUAUUUCAUUCUAUAAAUGUUGGUUAUCUGAAGCAUGACACUAAACUUGUGAUCUUGAAGUUAUUAUGCUUGUUGAUUGAUUCGUAUCACUUGAAUACAUGUCUUUCUUCUUCAAAAGGGGCUAAGCCCGAUUGUUAUCCCUUUUAUUCGGAUUUCACAAAGUUUUUCCCUUGUUCAUUUUAAAUGAUGAGUCGUACCCCAGUUAUAGUUAUUGUUUCAAGAAUUGGGGUGUGACAAACGCACAUACACAACAAUUUGAAAAAUACGCACGUAGAUAAAAGAAAAAUUAACAACAUCCGCACAUACACUAUGUUUUGAAAAAAAAUGUAGAGAAAGGAAAAAAAGCUCAUACACUACGGAUGAGCAUAGACGAUUAUGAUUUUUGUGAAACCAUAGUACAUAAUCACGAAAAAUACGCACAUACACUACGGUUGUGGUAAAAAACUGUAAUUUACUGUAAUUUUCCAUAAAUAGGUCGCGCAUACAUUUUUAUAUCAUUAAUAUCUACAUUAGUAACUCGUGCCGAAAGGUUUCCUGCCUCUAUGGAAUAGAUAUUUGUUAUAUAAAAUAGUUGUGACUUCUACAUAAUUUCAAAAUAAAACCAAUCUCCAUCAGCAUGUAACACGAUUUCCUAUUUCUAUUAGUACAUUAGGCAUAUAUAUACAACAACUUAACAUCUUCUUAAAUGGGGAGAAAAGUUCUUGUUUGUAGCUUUGUCCAUCUAGCGCAACUUGUUAAGCAAAGUAAGGGCAUGUUUUUAACAUUUUAACUUCUUUAUAUGAAGGUGACGCUCCAAUAUGAGAAGGAUAAAGGUUGUCGGCAAAAUAGCUUGAUCGGGUCCAAAUGUGACUCAUUUACAUCGAAAUUAAUAAUAAAUGGCCCAAAUUUACAAGCCCAAAAAAAUGUGACCUAAUUUUGCAAAGUGCCCUAACUUAGUAGCCUACAAAAAUUUUAAACUCAUACUUGUUUGACUUAAAUAAAUAAAAUAGUUAAAAGUACUUUAGAUUUGACAAUGCCCCUUCGAAUGACGAAAAGGCACAAAUGUUGUAAGUCAAUUCUACGUAAUAUCGGAUGAGAUUUUUUGUCCCACAAUUUAGCUAGUGUGUAUCAUCAUCCCUCACUCUUAAUUUCUCUAUUUAUAAUUAUUUAUUAUAAAAAUAAAAAUAUUAUUCUCUCCCACCUCACUUGACCUAAUUCUUUUUUGACACGAUUAUUAAAAAAAGUAAAAUUAUAUUGUAAGAUGUGGACCUCAUAUCUAUUGUAGUGAAAAUUUGUUACUCAAAAAGAAAAUAAGCCAAGUCGGAUGGGACGGCCCAAAAAAGAAAGUAGGCCAAAGGAAGUGGGACGAAGAGAAUAUUAAAUAAUGAACUCUAAUUAAUAUUUAUCACUAAAAAUUAAAAUUUAAAAAGUGAUAUAUCCUAACUUGAAUUAAUUAACCAAAAUAAUUCAUUAUUAAUUAAAAUAAAUAUAAAAAAUAAUUAUAAAUCCUAGUUGGAUUAGUGAACCCUUGAUAAUUAUCUUUUUAUUAUAUGAAAACAUAAUAAAUUAUCAUUGAAGAAAAAUUAAUUAAAAAUUAAUGGGCCCAUCACCUAUUCUCUCUCUCUAUACAUACUUUUACAAAUUUCAAUUUAUUUUUCUUUUUCCGUCAACUCACUUUAUCUACUAAUUAAUUACACAUUUUAUAAUAUCUAUACCCAAAAGUAAUUAGACAUUUGUAAUGGUGCGAAAUGAGUAAUAAAUUAAGAGUGGUUGACCCUUCCAUAGGGCCUGGGGCCCCUAAAUUUAGGGGGCCCAAAAUAAAAAUAUAAGCUCAUUAAUAUUAACCUUAUUAAAUGUUUUAUAUUGCUUCCCUAAUGUUUCUAUUGCAUAUAAUAUAUUGUUGACUAUAUUGGUUACUAUAGCAGAAAGAAGUUUUUUAAAGUAAAAUUGAUAAAAUUAUAUUUACGUUUUACUAUGUCUCAAUAAAUGUUAAAUGAAUUAGCGUUUUAUGCAUUGAACAUGAGGUAUUUGAAAAUUUUGAUCUUGAAGAAGUUAUUAAUGAUUUUGCUUCUCAAAAUAUAUGCUAGAAGAUCCAUUUUCUAGGAGGGCCAUUUUUUUUCCUCGCUCAAGGCCCUCGAAAUAUCAGCAUCGGCCUUAAGAGUGGGUCACAAUGGUACACACUAAAUUGCGAGAUAGAGGAUCUCAUCUGGCAUAAAAUAUGUUUAAAAGGCAAGUGAGACAAUUUGCAACUUUUAUACUUUAUCAAUAACCUACUACAACCUAAAUAUUUUUUCUUUUUCUAUAAUUUGUUGUCAUAUUUUUUAAUUAAAAAAUGCAAAUGGCAUUAUUGGAUUUGAUUGAAAAAAGGUGGAUAAAGGUUGCUCCGUAUACUUCUUCCACAACUGGUUACUAAGUUUCUCAUUAUUUUAUUAUUUUUUUGGUUUAACUUUGUUUGGUUAUGAAUAAAUAUAGCCUUAGUGUAGUUGGGAAGCCCAUGCUUUAAUAUACUCCCUCUGUCCCGCCCAAGAUGCUACAUAUUCCUUUUCAGGCCGUCCCAACGAAGAUGCUACAUUUCUAUAUUUGGCAAAAAUAAGGAAUUUUAAACGUUUAAUUAACACUAAUUAAUUAUUUCUUUAUUAUCUUCUCUCUCAUACUUUAUCACUUUAUUACCUUCUCUUUCUUACUUUAUCACUUUAUUACUUUCUCUCUCCUACUUUAUCAGUUUAUUAUUACAUACUUAAAACAUUAAUCUACAACUCCUUAAAUCCCGUGCCGAAAAGCAAAUGUAGCGUCUUUGCCGGGACGGAGGGAGUAUUAAAGGUCGGGGAGUUAAAUUUUUUUUUCUAACAAAUUUUAAUUCUUUUCGUAAUACUUAAAAUUAUGAUAUUCUUUACUUUUAUUUAUUUAAAGGAUUAAAUGCAUGUAAUAUCACGAACUUUGCCUGAAAUUCAUUUUCCCCAUGAUUUUAAAAAAAUUCAUUUUUAUAAUUUUUUUUGACAUUUGUUUAAUUUUCUCACGAUUUUUAUUUUUCCUUAAAUCAGAAUUAAUGUAACGCUGGUGUGACUCACUGGUACGCGCCAUACUUGUUCCAUCUGGUAGUUAAACGCAACAUUUGAUUAUUGGGUUAAGGUGCAGAUAGGCCCCUAUAGUAUAAGCCCUUAUAGCGUAUUGCUUCUCAUACUCAUUGUGUGUGCAAAUAGGCCCUCAAAGUCCGAAAAAUCGAUCAAUUAAACCCGUUUGACUAACCGCUGUUAGUCAAACGUUAGUAAUUUUUUUUAACCCCCAAUUUCUUUCUUCUUUCAAUUUUUACCCCAAAUUUUUACCCCCAAUUCCAAUUCAGCCACUGUCAAUAUCUCCCUCGGCCUCUCUUCUCUUUCGGUGGCGACGAGGCCGCCGGUCACCUCUCCCAUGAAAUUCGGCGCUACCGUCACAUCCGAGUUUACAUCGCGAUGGAAGAGGUCGCCGAAGGCGCGCUAGCAGACGGUGUUCAUGAUCUUUGCGACACCUCGAAGCACAGCGAUGCGGUUGUCGUGGAGGAAGCGGAGGCUGACGCCGGCAGGGAAGCUGAGGAGCUCGGACAAGAGCUUGACCCCGCCUCCAGCGAGAAAGUCGUCGCUCUCGACGCACCUGAUCCAGGCGGCGGCCUCAUCGGCUACGGCGUUGAUGAGGAGUGGCAGGAGGGAGGAGACGCGCUUGAUGGGUGGAUUCGGCGCACUCCUUCUCGAGCCACAUGAGGAAGGAGAGGACUUGGACCGACUCGGUCGGGUCGCGGCGGAGAGAGCGGGUGAGGAAGGCGUAGAGCUCCCUAUCGAUGGUGUGGAACUGCCGGAAGGGGCAGGUUUCCAGCGGGAAGAGGGAGUGACUUCUGCAAUUUCCGCCGUAAGGUGGCUUGCAGCGGAGAGGCAACGGUUGGGGUGCGAUGUGGUGUGCUGGAUUCUGCAAUUUUUGCCGGAAGAGAAGAGAGGCUAAGGAAGAUGUAGGAGUGACUAAAUUGGAAUUGGGGGUAGAAAUUGAAAGAAGAAAGAAAUUGGGGUUAAAAAAAAACAUUGACUAACGUUUGACUAACAUCGGUUAGUCAAACGGGUUUAAUUGAUCGAUUUUUCGGACUUUGGGGGCCUAUUUGCACACACAGUGAGUAUGAUGAGCAAUACACUAUAAGGGCCUAUACUACAAGGGCCUAUCUGCACCUUAACCCUAAAAAAAUAAAAAAAAUUACUAACUAACGUCAACUGACGGAGUUAGGUCAGAGAAAUGUGCGAAUUUUGGAAGUUUAGGGGGUAAGUUGCACACACAGUGAGUAAGAAGAGCAAAUCGCUAUAAGGGCUCACACUUCAGGGGCCUAUCUGCACCUUAACCCUUUUAUAUUUACUAGCAGAAAGAUAGUACAUUGUAAGUGUAAUUAAUAUUAUUUUAUUUGAUAAUUUAUUAUUUUAAAAAAUCUAUUAAUUCAUUAUUUUUAUUAGAUAAUAUAUUUAUUUGUAAACCUUAUUAAUAGCUAUAGAAAUAUAUCACAUAGAUUUAGUGUAAUAUCUAAUUAAUUAAUAUAUUCUUAUAAAUAUAUAAUAUGUAAAAUAAUUUUAAAAUAAAAUGUAAUAGGGGUAAAAUUGGCAAUUCACAAGUUGUGCCUUAAGAUGCCUUAGGCACUUUCUUAUAAAUAUAUAAUAUGUAAAAUAAUUUUAAAAUAAAAUAUAUAAUAGAGGUAAAAUACGCAAUCCACACGUUGUGUCUUAAGAUGUAUUAGGCUUUUUUUCUAUUAGUAUAUAGGUAUUUUUCUCAGUUAAGAAUUUGACCGAGAGAUAUCGAAUUAUCAAUUGGACAUUAUCGAUAUUAAAUUAUGUUACGGUUUAAUAUUAUGUUUAAGAUUUUUUUUUGGUUGUAUUGUAUUCAAGUUCUAUUUAUGUUUGUUGUAUUCUGUUUUUCCUGUUAUAAGUAGAUAUAUUUAAAAAAUUUACUGUAAGGUUGAAUAUUUUAUGAAUACGUGGUUUUUCCCAUUUUCUUCAUGUUUUUCUCGAAGGGUGAAUAGCCAUGAAACUUCGAACAUUAAAUGAUAGUUGUUGGAUCUUACAAUUUGACGAAAAAUUAUACUCCAUUUAGAUAUAUAUAUGCUUUCAAUUGGAUAUAUAUAUAUAUGGGCACCAUCUAACAGGACCAUCAAAUAUGAGAGCUUUUUCUGUUAUAAUCUUUAUUCGAAUUGAAUGUAAGUAUGUAGGUGUGGCGUGAAGUGUUUAGAAAUGUAUUUCACAAAUUUGACUAUGUGAUAUUUGGUCCAAACGAAAGAAAUACAACCAUAAAUACUCCCAUCAAAUAUGAAAGCGACAUGAUAUAAUCCUAAUCUACCAAACCUAGUGUUGAAUCAAUAUGUAAAAUCAAAGUAAAACAAUGACACAGAUUCUUUACGUGGUUCAGCCACGAAGGCCUACAUCCACGAACAAGGAGAUGAACACUUUCACUAUCAAGAAACGAAAGAGUACAGAGAAGAAGCUUCAAGCUUCAAUUUACAGCAGCUAUACUUAGCACCUCUCCAAAUCUUUCCUCUCAACUCAAUAUCGUAAAAGUAAACCAGAAGAAGAAAUUAUACACUGCAAACUUAGGAAUACAAUAAGAGAAUGCCUUUAUACAUCAAUCUGAUACUCUGCAAAUCCCCACGCAAAACGGCUGCUGCAUUAGUUAGCUGAAUAACUAACUGUUUUGCCCAUUUGCUAGAGAGUCCUUCAAUUUUAAUGAAUAUUGCAGAUUAACCCCUGAAGCUUAUAAAAGCAUAAACCUACACCUAGUUUAGGAACUGGCCACUAUAGUAUUGUUCUAAGAUAUAUCAACUACUAGCUAGCUCUUUAUAAUGAAGGUGGAAUGGAAGGCUCCAAUAUUUUACUUAAAAGGGAGAAUAUAAUAGUAAUGUGGUUCAACCUAUCCAGUAAGCAAUAAACCUCUGUGCUUUGCUGCUUUUGGCACCAUAUUCUAUUAACUUGAUUUAUUAAUUCAUACAAAAUAUAUAGUUAUUUGUUCAAAUUUAAUCUGAAAUAUACGAUGGUCCUGGCUUUUAGAAAAGGCGUUGCUAUUUUUGCAGCUUCUAUUGCCAUUUUCUUCUUCAUCGUUAUUUCUUCCGCAGAGAAAGGUGAUCUCUCUCUCUCUCUCUCUCUCUCUUUUAAAAGCACUCUUUUAUUUGCGGAAAUAAUUUGCUUGUCGUAAAAAGUAAUGUAAAUUUAAUAUAUUUAGCGCAUAUUUACUAUUCAUGUUUAGCUUAGAUAAAUAAAAAUUGUAUAAACUAAUCUAUCGUUUAAUGAGAUGGAUUGGAAAUUUAAAAUAUCUUAAAACGUGCCCAUGAUAAUUUCUACCGAGAUAACUUAUUUGGUUACUACAUGGCUCCAUCCCAUCAAAAUGUGAGUUGUAUUUUUUUUUUCCAGUUGUCCCAACGAAAUUGAGUCGUUUCUAUUUUGAGAAACAUCUUUAUAUAAAAAACAAAGUAAUUGUAAUUUAAUUCAAUUACAAUGGUGUAAUUGGAAUUGGAGUGAAAAAAUCAAGUUAAAAAAAACUGCCAAUGACUUCCUAAAAUGUCAAAACCGUGCAUUAUCUUUUAAAUUGUGUUUCUUUGUGUUUUUAAUACAAUUAAUUGUUUUUUUUUUGUUUCAAACAGUUAUACUUACUUCUCCAUUUACUUUUUAUUUUCCUUCAUUAUAUUAAACAUAUUUUAUUUUCUAUUUAUUUUAUAAUUUUAUUAUGAAUAUAAUAUACACAAUAUAUGCUUAUUAAAUAAAAGAUCAUAAAAAGAUUUUUAAUUUGAUAUAUAUUAUAUAAAAAAAUAAUUUAAAAUAAAUAAGUUGUUACCAUUUAAAGUUAAACCAUUGAAGAUGUAUUUUCUAACUUUCCUUUAAGUCUUUAACGUGUGUAAAUAUUUUUCAAAUUGUUUUUAACGUAUAUUUCUUCUAUCUUUUUAUGAAUUUGAUUUAAUUUCUUAUCUUUAUUUUCUUCUUUUUUCUCUACUUUUUUUCUUUAUGAAAAACGGUGGUGGAAUUUUAUAUCCUUUUUAAUAAGUUUUUAAUCUUAAUUACGUAAUUUUAUUUUAAUUAUAAGUGAUAAGUUAGUAAGGGUUAAUAUUGUUUUAUGUCCCGAACUUUUGGCGUUUUCCACAAAAUGUCUCGAACUUUCAUUUUCUCCUAAAAAAUCCUGAACUUUCAGUUUUUUCUAUAAAAUGUCCCGCUAUACAAAAUUCGAUGACGGAAAGAUGAUAAAAAAAACCCUGAAUUUUCACCGUUUUCAAACAAUGGUGGUUCUCAGUAUGGUUUUCCAACAAUAGUGGUCCCUAAAUAUUUCUUUCGGCGAGAUAUUCAUCUUUUUGUCAUCNUAGAUAAAAAAACCCUGAAUUUUCACCGUUUUCAAACAAUGGUGGUUCUCAGUAUGGUUUUCCAACAAUAGUGGUCCCUAAAAUAUUUCUUUCGGCGAGAUAAUUCAUCUUUUUGUCAUCAAAUUUUGUAUAGUGUGACAUUUUAUGGAAAAAAUUGAAAGUUAAGAGUUUUUUAAGAGAAAAUAAAAGUUCGGGACAUUUUAUGGAAAAUGCUGAAAGUUCGAGACAUAAAACACUAUGGAGUAGUAAUAAUAACGAACAAUUUUUUUGGGCAUUCUGUACAUUUUAGGCAUUUUUCAUUAAAAAACAAGCAUAAUAGUUAUAAUAACGAACAAUAUUAUCAUAGAUUAUAUAGUUUCAAUACAUCACAAUUUUUUUUGGGCAUUCCAUACAUUUUAGGCAUUUUUUAUUAAAAGACAAGCAUAAUAGUAAUACUAAUAAACAACAUUUUCAUAGAUUAUACUUCAUCCGUCCCAAUUCAAUAGGCCAUAUUUCCUUAUUUGGACGUCCCAAUUCAAUAGGUUACUUCUUAAAAUGGAAAGUCAACAUAUAAUAAAUAUCUCCAUAUAACUCAUUAUUUACACCAAAUGUCAUUAUACCUCACAUAUAAUUAUCUAUUCUUUAUUUAUCUCUUCUACUUUUUGGACAAAUAUAUCCUCAAAAAAAGUUAUUUUCUCUCACUUAUUUUAUUAUAAAUUAUUCAUUUCUUAACAUAUGUGCCCGACCCUUAUUACCUAUUGAAUUGUGACGGAUGGAGUAUAGUUUUAUGUAGAACGUAUGAAUUCGCUAUAUAAAUUUUAUGUAGAACGUAUGAAUUCGCUAUAUAAAAGUAUGAAUUGCGAAAAAUAAAUUUUUGUUAUCUUUGGGAUUCGAACUCAGGACCAUAAAUUCAUCCAACAGGAUGAUGAAUCAAUCGUAUAACGAAUUCAUACGUUCUACAUAAAAUUUAAGAGCUGCUCUCAAUCGUAUAGAAUUCAUACGAUUCUACGUUCUUAUUACCUAUUUCUUACCUAUUAAAUUUCUUAUUUUAAGAGCUGCUCUCAAUCGUAUAGCGAAUUCAUACGUUCUACAUUUUUUCCUAAUUCUUAUUUCUUAUUUUAAGAGCUGCUCUCAAUGUAGCCCUUCCAUAUAUAUAUNNNNNNNNNNNNNNNNNNNNNNNNNNNNNNNNNNNNNNNNNNNNNNNNNNNNNNNNNNNNNNNNNNNNNNUGAGAGGGGGCUCUAGUCCCCCUGGCUCCGCCCUUGUUUGGGAGUGUCAAUGAGAGAGACGAGAUAGAGGGAGACACCAGAAGGAGCAGAGAGGCGAGGGGUGAGAGAGAUAAGAAAGGGCGACGCGACCGGCCUCGACGAAAGAGGACCACGACAGCGGCGCUUGCUGAGAAAGAAAUGGGCAACUGAUGCUAUGUUGAAUUUCAACGAGAGAGAGAGAAUUGAGGGAUGAGAAACCAAUGUUUGAAUAAAGAGUAAUUAGAUCUAGCUCGAAAAUGAUGUGUUUUGCAAAUAAUCCAAGAAACUUAAAAUCAAGAAUUGUUUAAGAUAAGCAAAAUUAAUAAUGUAAAAAAAAGAAUUAAUUUAAUUAAUAAAUCAAAAUGAAAAAAAAAUGUGAUUAACUAAUUAAAAUUUUGAACUUAAAUUUAAUUUAAAAUAAUUAAUUAUUUAGAUAUCCACUUAACCAUAAAUCUACAAACAUACUUAAACAACUAAACAUUAACUCGUUAAAUCUCGUGUCCAAAAAUGCCUCAUUUUCAGCGGGACAGAGAGAGUAUUUAAUUAAAAAGGAGAUUAGAGAAAUAUUGAAAAGUGAAAAUAAAAAUAUUCAAUUAUGGACAUGUUUAGUUUAAAUCAUGAUAAGACAUUAUUAAUAAUAAUUUAACUUAAUCAAAUAUUUAAUUUGUAUGAUUAUAGUCGAAUUGUACUAUAAUCAAUUAUAAAUACUUCAAUGAUUAUUACUUUUGCUAAUAAAUUUUUUUAUUUUAUCAGCUCCGUACGAGUCUUUCGCAAAGAACGCAACGUUAGCUCUGACAAGAGGGUAUUAUGACUACAUAAUCAUAGGUGGUGGGACCGCCGGUUGCCCGCUAUUGGCGACGCUCUCCGCUACCGCAAAGGUACUACUCCUCGAGAGAGGCAGUCUCCCAUACGACAACCCCAACGUCACCAACGCAGAAUAUUUUUUGAAAUCACUGCAAGACACAUCCUCGACCUCCGCCUCCCAGAUGUUCAUUUCCACGGACGGCGUUUUCAAUCACCGCGGCCGCGUAUUGGGCGGAAGCUCCGCCAUCAAUGGUGGAUUUUACACACAUGCCAGCCACGAGUAUGUGCAGAAGGGGUUUUGACUAUCCUAGGCUGAGUGCUUUCUGCGCACUAUCACUAGGAUGAUGACACUUGGAGCUUAUUUUUUCUAUUUUCAAGCCAUAUUAAUUUUGACCUUCUCAAAAAUCUUUAUUUACACAAUGGUCCCCUUACUUUGCCAAAAAGGGCACAGAAAACCCUACUUAAACUAUGGAAAAAAUUUCUAUAAUCUGAAAAUCUAAUGCAUCCCCGCGCUUCGCCAAAAAUGGUAUCAGAGCGGGUUUUAAUUGAGGAAUUAUAUUAUAUUUAUUUUAUUUUAUAAUUUACCUUUGGGAUUAACCUGUGUGGAGGAGACUCCAUUAAAAUUUAUGGAUCCGGACGAGUGUCCGAGAUGUCUUGUAUACAGGAUAUCUUUCCAAAAUUUGGAAAGAGAAGCUAGACACCUAAUGGGUGUACUACGAUGGUGUUGGAGAGCACUUAUGCUCAACAUUACCGAGGACGAGGAAACGGUUCGUGAAAUCAUUACGGACUUUCGAGGGCAUCUCGAUGCCCUACUGGAGAAUGCCGUGGCCAAAGCGGCAAAUAGACAAGCAAGAGCCUAUCUCCAUCAAUUUCAUACUUGAUGGAACCAAAGAACAAGGCGGGAGUAGCUUAUCCAAGCUACCACAAGAUCGAACCGGACUCUUCCGAGAAUGUCAACCUGCGGGAGAUUCAAAAAAUGGUGGAAUAUUACGGCAACAAGCUGUAUGAGCUACCAAUGGAGAUGAGUAAAAUAUCACUCAAACAAGAGGAAAUACUAACCCUCUUGCGUGAUAUCCAGAAAAGAGUAGCAGAUAUCGAACGACGAAAACCAUUUCGGAAAAAUUCGAAAAAAUGGUCCAACGACCCGACGUAUCCACUCCACUCGAGCAGCACCCAAGGAGUUGACACCGGAGGACAUAAUUCGAAUCAUGAAAGGCAAAUGAAUAGCCUUGAUCGAAUCGGAUUAGAAGAUCUACAGGAGCUAGCAGAAUCUUUUGCUAACCUCAACAUGGUUGAUCUAAAGAUGAACCAAGGAGAUGAGGCGCCCAAAACUGAGCCUCAAGAAGGAGAGUCGUCAGACAAAUCAAAGAAGGGUGCGGCUCAAGAAAACGCGCAGUUCAACGAACCCGACGAGACGACCUCAGAUGCGGGAUACUCCUGUAGGAAAGGUACAUUAGAACCAAUCCAUCCAUAGGAUUGAUUCUUAACCUCGAUGAAGCCAGUUUCAAAGAUUGGGAAGGACUCAUCGAUGAAUGGGCUUCAGCAAUGAAGAUAGUGAUCGCCACGAUUGAUUAUGACAAAGAAGAAUUUGCCAAGAUCUUCGAAGCAAGUUUUGCAGGCAUGGCAAAACAAUACUGGGAUAAAAUCGACACCCAGGGAAAGAAUGAUUUGUUUAGCCAUACGUCAAUUUCUGACAUCCUUGAGUUGGCCGCUAAACAAAUUAAGAUCCAUUUCUUGGGAAUGGGUUUUUUCGAAGGAUCCGCAGAGGAGAAGCGCAAGAAAUAUCGACAGGCACUUUACAAUCUAAGAUUGGUGGUGCUAGAGCCAAAAGCUCUUGAUGAAUUUCUACGCCUGUACACCCUAUAUGUCCAUAUGGGGUUGGUUGAUGAUCAGACGGCCAAGGACCUCUUUUUCACAAAGUUUCCAAGUCCAUGGAGGGAGAUGCUCAUCAACGAGUACGUUUCACCAGGAGAAUAUCCACUUGAUAGUGCAUCAAGAAGGAUGUCAUAUGUUCACAAGAAGAUGUCCGAAUGGUGCCAGAAGGCAGCGGACCAAAGGAAUCUCAAGAGAUUGAGGAAACUCAAUAAGAAAUCUCCAUUGAUGUGCGACAACAUUGAUCUUCCAACAGAGAUUGGUGCUGAGUUGCUGUAUCAAAGGAGGAGCCGAAAGAAACAUAGGUACCAACCCUAUGAAAGAAAGUCUAGAAGAAGUUCUUGGAAGCCAAGAACUAUGUGGACCAGACAGAAGGCACGCUCCUACAAAUCAGGCCAAAGGAGCAGACCAUCAAGAAACCGAUUCUCAAACCAAAAGAGAAUCCCGGCGAGAAAAACUUUCAGGCGUACUCAGGCCAAAGCAAAUGAAAGCUUCAAAGAUUGCAACUGCUGGACAUGCGGUGCAAAGGGGCAUAUCUCUACCAAUUGUCCCGACAACGAGAAAAGAGGGAUAAAGAAAUUCGAAUCCACACAGGAUAUCGAAGAUGCUCUCUAUUACCAGAAAUUGAUACCCGUGUAUCAAUUUGAAGAUAUAUCCUCUGAUGAGAGCAUAUAUGAGCAAGAAGAAGUCUUUAGUUCUGAAGAUUCGGAGAUGACCGAUGGAUCAACCGGAGACGAGUCAGACUAAAGAAGAACACGAGGUCCACCACACCCAGAAGGAGGAUCAGAAUGGAUUUACCAGCCAUUUUCUGAUUCCACAAGAAGAAGUGGUGAAGAAGCUCGUGAAAAAACUCAAAAAGGAAACCGAAGAGGUACAAACAUACCAAGGGUUUUCCAAUGGAAGAUUGAAUCGAGUUUUACAUAGCUUGAUUCCAUCCAAAAGGAAGCAUCAUGUCUAUUUUGGCGUUACAAACCGAGAAAUGACGCUUCCAAUCGAGAUCACAAGUAAUCAGGUGGAAAUCCAGCUGGUUCCAGCCGAAGAUAUAAAGCAGGAUCUUAAGAAAAUGAAACCAGAAGUCGCAAGUACGAUGAAAUGGAUUCAUAUUGGAGCCAUCCAGUUGGUAAUCAAAUCUUCCCUUUUUCCAGGGACAGACCAACCAAUUGAUGUCGCACUUUGCGACAAGAGGAUCAAAGAUGCCAGAAAAUCAGUUCUUGGAGCUUUUUCAGGUAAUCUCUAUGCCAAGAAGAUUAUAACCGAGUUCUACCCACAAAUCGCUUAUAAUCUGCAAGAUUCAUCCUUCAGCCGAGCCCUGACUCUCUAUCAGGACUACAAAAAGAAGGAAUAUAUGACAGAUGGAAAUAGGCCAUACUCAUUGACUUAUCAAGUCUCGUAUGCCUUAUCAAAUUCCCAUCACACGGAAUUAUUUCUGGGAAAAGAAUUUAUUGAAAUUCCAGAAAUAUUCAAGGAGGUAGCCAAGGCAGCCCAUCCAAACCGAGUGGAAAUUCCCCAGAUCAGGGAAAUCGACAUCGAUGUGGGAGACAAACCAGUGCUUAGCCAUACCCAGAGUCUCAGAUUGGGAGCACCAAGGCUGUCAUUUCAGGGAAAUAGGCUAACUUCAGGGCCUAUAACAAGAAGUUUCUCUCAGUCAUACGAGAGAAGGGCAAUCCAGGAAACACCAGUUCCAGACAUGAGGGUCAAACUCAAAUGUCCCGAAGGAUGGAGACAGGUUUCCACAAGAUUUGAUACAACGAAAGGAGAAAAUAAGUUCCCUUGCAGUUCGUUGUAUUAUUUGGCAAAUCCAGGAGACAACCGAUACAUCGGAACUCUAGAGGUCGGAGGUUUUGAAAUACAGACCGAAUGCCAAGCCGGACAAGAAGCAGACGUCCUGAUCUUAGGACGAGAUUUCCUUGACAAAUAUAAACCAUGGUCAUGGAAAUCAGGAGGAAUGGAGAUUACAAUUGGACGUCAAAAAGUGAUGAUCCAAUGACCAGCCCAUUCUCGAUUUACAUCUCUGUAGGGAUGUUGUACGAGGAGUUCAAAGCAGAAUAUUUUGCUGCUUAUGUGGAUUCGGGAGCAGGAAUCUGUACAGCAAAACGAGGAGUCUUUCCAGCGGAAGUGGAAGAAGAUUUACCUCGAAUUGUAGGAAGGGAUUUCUCUAAAAAGAUUUUGCUUCUAUCAAAAGGAGUAAAACAGAUAGAAAUAUUGAUUGGAGGAGCAGGACAGACACCUUGGUACAAGGUUAAGACUCCACCAAUAUAUUUCCAUGAUACCGGAGCAGAUAUAUUAUUCGGAAAUAAUUUUCUGCAAAGCUUCAAGCGAUACAUACAAGACAAUGAAGCCAGGAGGCUGGUGUUCACAACCAAUUGUGAUCACAAGAUCAUUGUGCAGAGGCUCAAUGGAGCUUUUCAUCGCUCGAUGCCAAUCAAAUUUCGCAGCAAGCGUGGUGAUGAUGGCAGACUCCGGAGACCCCAAAUGAAGGAUCAAAGGAGAUUCGGAGAAGUUUUGCUUAAAUGCAGAACUGAGGGAUUCCCAGAUCUCUCCGAGGAAGAAAUUCAAAUCCUCAAAGUAUCCCUGAUAUCACACAAAGAUAUCAAGGAAGAAGAACAGGUGUCCAUUGCCGACGUCAAAAGGAGAAUCCAGAAGUGUUAUCACGAGGAUCCUUUGGCAUGGUGGGACAAGAACCAGCUCAGAGCAACCCUAAAAGUUAAAACUGGAAAGGAGCAUGAGUUUGUAAGAUUCAGACCUAUCCUGAUGAACCCUCAAGAUCAACAGGAUAUGAUGAGUAUAAUNNNNNNNNNNNNNNNNNNNNNNNNNNNNNGAAUGCCAAUAUUAUGAUUAUGAUAUUGUCAUCUUGAAAUCUGAUCAAAAUGUUCUUGCAGAUUUCCUUACAAGGGAUGGAGCUCCCUGAGGUGGAGGCCAUCGAAGCAAAACAGGCGCAGCUCUUUGAAAGUCUAGAGUUGCUACAACAGGAAUGGCAAAAGUGUGUUCUACACACCAAACAAGCAGGGAAGAUACAAGCAGCUGACGAAGCUCAAGUAUCUAACCAAAUUGAUGCAUGCUUCAUGAAGAUGUUCAAUCUUCAAGAAGUAAUCAACAAGCCGCUCUUGCGCGUUAUCCGAGAUAAUCGGAUUAAAGCAAUGCUUUCCGUACAGGGCGGAUUACCUGUAGCAGGGGAUUCAAGUACCCCUAGCCCAAGUCCUAAGGUGAUGGUUUCACAGCCGGACCCUCAAGGAGAAGAUGUUGUUAAGGGGUCACACCCUGAAUCAACAUGUCAACCCUCCACCUCUGGGGUUAAAGAGGGAAAGGUCAAUCUUAGGCCAAUGACGGGCCAAGUUAAGGUUGACACUGAUUUUAUUGAAAUUUCUCCUUCUUGGCAGAUGUAUCAAGACAGGUGGGAGAAACUUCUCACAAGAAAGGGCAUUAAUCCGGGAAAUUGUCGGAUUGAUGUUAGUGGAAAAUAUCCUCGGGUAUGGACGACUCCAGGAGCCAACCCGAACGACGUUAAAGAGUGGUAUGAGUUCGGGGCGUUAGUCUCAGUUUAUACCACCUCUCCAGCAUUCACCGAGAUCAAGGAUCUACCCAAAUGGAUCCAAAAAACGGUGUUUGAUGCAUGGGAAAACAACGAGUCCCUCAAACGGGGAGAUGUUCUGGAAUUGUACUUUUUCAGUGCAGCGCCAGAGCCAGUGGGAAAAGGAAUCCAUGAAGCUUUCCACUUUAUCAAGCUUCGGAGACCUGACACGGGAGCCCUGAACCGAAUCAAAGUUCCCGAUUUCCAGGCCGCAAUCGUCUCGACAUUCAAGGAGGACCAAAUCUCCACUAGACGAGCAUGGGGUCUAUGGGUCUGUCUGACAGAGAUGGACAAAAUGAAGUCCAGAUUCAAGUUCUACCAAAGUUCAGAUCUGGGAACGUUCCUGGUUAACACAAUGACAGGAACUACGACCCCUUUUGCCGAAAAAUCCUUCGAAAAUAAACGGCAAAUGUUGUGGGAAAACAAGAUAGCGGGGAGCAAGGAGACUCGUCGCAAAUUUUGCAACAUGGCUCAUCUGGGCCAUUGGAUUGAGAAAGUCUGCGAUCAAUGUUCAACGCAGAAGGAGCCGGAAUUCGGUAAAUGAUUCUUCCCAAAGCCUGACAGAAGGAGGUUCCGGUAUGAUGAACAUGAUGAGCGUCAGACUCCAAAGGGAAGAAGACCUCAGGCACCAAAAAAGUAAGGUGGCUGACAAAGCAAAGUGAAUCAUGUGAUUCACAGCAAGGAUCGCACCCACAAAAGAAACGACAAAAGUGGGUGGAAGACAUGACGGAUCAACUCACCAAAAGUUCCAGGACUCCAAGACAAAGCGUGAGUGGAGAGAAAAGCAGCCGGCCCUCACCAGCAUUAUCACAAAAGGAUAAAGGAAGGGUCCAGCUCCAUGUGAUGGCACUAACUAAUGUCGGCAAUCAUGGCCGACAAAGGAAGGUGGAUGUCACAUUCAAGAUAGCUGGCCACAAAGAAGGAAUCCAAGGCCAACUACCAAGCAAUGAUAGAGGGCUUCACACCUCUAUAUAAACACAAGCUCUGAAGUGAAGAGAUCAUCGAAAAUUUUUCACAACCUUACUCACACACACACUCUCUCUUCAGAAAACUAUCUUUGUAUUUUAAAUUUUGUUUUUCAAAGUUUUUUAUUCUAGUUUUAGUUUCUUUUUAUUUUAUGUAUACAAGUAUUAGCUACUAAUGAGUAGCUAAAACAGUUAGUCUCCUCCCUUAGGGAGAUUAUCAUGAAAUAAAAUAAGUAUUUUAUAAUUCCUCUUUUAACGCUCCUAUUUUAGCCCAAUUUCCGGUUUAGUAAAAAUAUUUUCUUCUAAAAUAAAAAAAAAAAAAUUAAAACGUCGAGACACAGUGAAGGAGGGAAACUGAUUCCUAAAGGUGACCAUUCGGCGAAAGCUGAAACACAGUGAAGGAAGAAGGUUGCAACCAUCUCUUGCGAGUGCGUGGUUGGACGAAGGCUGAGGUGGCAAGAAGUCCGUAAAACGCGACAAAAGCUCCGGAAGGUGACCAGUCGACGAAAGGUAUACUGUUGAUUUAUGUUUAGAAUUAUUUUGAAGUUGUACGGAAGCAUGUUGGGCCAUAUUUUGAUAAUUGCAUGAUUUCAUAAUUAUAGAAAAUAAUUUUGGGUUUUUCUGUUGUUAUAUGUGAAGGGCUGUUGAUGCUAUAAUUUGUUUAGAGGGGUCAAAUUGAUAUUUCUUGAUUUUGGAAAUUAAAGGAGCCACGUGUCAACAUCUUAGCAGUAGUGCUUUUAAGGCACUCGACUUAGGAUAUACAUAACCGCAGAAGGCGGGGUGGGACCCACAGCUUGUGAAGGAGUCGUAUGAGUGGGUGGAGAGAAAGGUGGCGUUCCGGCCGCGGCUACUGCCGUGGCAGGCGGCGGUGAAGGAUGGCCUGCUGGAAGCCGGCGUGUCGCCGGACAAUGGAUUCACGUACGAUCAUUUGCAAGGGAGCAAAAUUGGGGGUUCAAUCUUUGAUGAAAAUGGGGUUAGGCACUCUGCUGCUGAUCUAUUGGAGUAUGCCCAGCCCACCAAUAUUACUGUAUACCUGCUUGCACGGGUGCAUCAAAUUUUGUUUAGGACCCAACCAGGUCACAAUCUCUCUCACAUCUUCAAAUAUACAUUUUUUUGUUUGUUAAAAUCAAAUAGCACCUAUAAUUAUUUUUACGGUUUCAUUUAAAAGUACCCGACUUUCAACAUUUUUUCAAAAAAUAUAUACUCCCUCCGUACCAAUUCAAUAGGCCAUGUUUCCUUAUUUGGACGUCCUAAUUCAAUAGGUCACUUUCAAAAAUGGGAAGUCAACAUAUAACAAAUAUACUCACAUAAUCUACUCCCUCCGUCCCUGAAAUGGCUUCCUCUUUGGGGACGGCACGAAUUUUAAUAAAAAGUUCUAAAGUGUAUUGAUAGUGGAGAAAAAAUGAUAUAAUUAUUAUUGGAAGUUGUGAAAAAUGUUAUACUCCCUCCGUCCCAAUAAUCUUGUCCCACUUUCCUUUUUGGGUUGUCCCAAUAAUCUUGUCCCAUUUCCUUUUUAGGAAAGUUUUAAGAACUAAUUAAUUUCUAAUUAAACACUAUCCUAAUUAAUUCCCCCUCUAAACCCUAAUUUAUCUCUCUCUCUCCCUCCACACUCUCUCGCCUCCCCAUCUUCUCUACCCUUCGCCGCCCCCCCCACCUUCGCCGCCCUCCCCCCACCUUCCCCCUCUGUCUCCCCCUUCCCCCUCUGUUCCGCCGGCACUGGCGCCGGUGCCGGCGCCGCCUCCCCCCUUCCGCCUCCGCCCUCCCGCCUCCGCCCUUCCGCCUCCGCCCUCUUCGCCACACAGAGGCGAGGCGACGCCUCCGCCUCUCGCCUCACCGCCUCCGCCCUCCCGCCUCUUCACCUCUUCCUCGGUUUUUUUUCCUUCAGAAAUUAGUGCUCGCCUCCGCCGCCCUCUCACCUCUUCGCCUUCGUCCUCCCGCCUCUGUUCCGCCGUCGUCGCCGCCUCCCUCCUUCCCCCUCUGUAAAUUCGUCGAGCACAGAUCUAAGCCCUAAACUCCCUCUUCUCUUGCCUCGCCAUCAGCUUCUCUUCUCCGUCUCCACCUCUCUCUCCACCUCCGAGCCCCAAAUCCCCAAAUCCAAACGCCACCCCUUCGAUUCCGGUUAAUGAAGAUGAUGAACCAGCCGCCAUCGACGAAGCAGCAGCGACGGGCUGCCGUCUCCACCUCUCUCUCCGCCUCCGAACCCUAAAUCCCCAAAUCCAAAUGCCACCCCGUCGAUUCCGGCGAUUGUACAGCCAUAGGGCUGCCGCCGCGGUGCCUUCUCCCGGUUAGUGAAGACGAUGGAAAAUUUGUUAGAAGAAAUUUAGCUUUUAUGUUUAGAUAUUUGUUGAAGAAAUUUGGUUUUUCUGUUCUUGGCUUUUCCAGAUUUUGUUCUUUGUCAAUGAAGAUGAUGAAAAAUUUGUUCUUGGUUUUGUGUUCUUGGUUCACUGUUAGACGAAAAUGUGUUCUUGGUUUUUUGUUAUUGUGUUCUUGGUUCACUGUUCUGGAUGGAGAGAGGCGGCGAUGAGGCUGGGGGCUGUGCCGACGCCGGCCGGGGAAGGAGGCGGCGCAGGUGUGGUGGCUCCGCCUACUGUGCCGUCGCCGGGGAGAUGAGGAAGAAACCAGAAUAAUUUUAAGCUAUAUUUAAUUUCUUCUUAAACAUGUGGGACCUUACAAUUUACAACACUAACUCAACACUCCUUAAUCUCCGUGCCCAAAAGAAAGGGGACAAGAUUACCGGGACGGAGGGAGUACUAAUUAGUAUUGGGAAUGGUAAAAAGUGAAAAGUAAGAAUAAAUAAAGUAUUAUUAGUGGUGGGGUAGGUGUCCAAAAAUGGAAAGAAAGAAAUAGGAAGUUAUUUGGGGGACGUCCCAAAAUGGAAAAAGAGGAAGUUAUUUUAGGGACGGAGGGAGUAUUAUUUUCACCAAAUGUCAUUGUAAUUCAUAAAUAAUUAUCUUUUCUUUAUUUCUCUCUCCUAUUUUUUGGACACAUAUAGCCUCAACAAAAGUUACUUUCUAUCUCCUAUUUUAUUACUCCCUCCGUCCCACUCCAAUAGGCUCAUUUUUCUUUUUGGGUAAAAAAAUUGUACUUAAUUGGUGUGGACCAUACCACUUUCCUACUAAAAGGUAAGUUUUCUUAAUCUCCAUAUCCAAAAGAGUGAGCCUAUUGGAGUGGGACGGAUGAAGUAUAAAUUAUUUGUUUCUUAAUAUCUGUGUCCAAGGCUUGUGGCCAAUUGAAUCGAGACGGAAAGAGUACAAUUUAUUAUUUUAUUAAAAUUAAUAAAUUUUUAAAUUGUCCCAAAUUGUGAUAAAAAAAAUUAAUAUUUCAUAAAACUUAUUAUCUUAAAAAAGUUUUACUAGUUCCAGGGCAAAGACCCGAGGCAUAUGGAGUUGUGUUCAAAGACGCGGAAGGUGCAACACACGAGGCAUAUCUAAAUAGUGGGCCUACGAAUGAGAUAAUUGUAUCAGCUGGUGCAAUGGGCAGCCCACAGCUUUUAAAUUUUUAAUGCUGAGCGGUAUCGGGCCGGCCCAAAAACUACGGGCCUUGGGAAUAAGUGUAAUAUUGGACCAGCCAAUGGUGGGACAAGGCAUGUCUGAUAAUCCACGAAAUAAUUUAGUAGUACCUUUACCUAAGCCCAUAGACAUAUCCCUCAUUCAAGUAGUGGGCAUAAGCGAUAACGUCGGUAGCUACAUAGAAGCAUACAGUGGAUUCACAGAGGUCUAUUCCCUUCAACAAUAUGCAAAUGUGGCAAAUCAGGUCAGUAUAGCAUCAUACUAGAAAAAAAUAUAAAUUAUUUUUCCAUAUUUUGAUUUUUGACAUAUUAUAUAAAUUAUUAGAAUAACCACACUACUUUUCAAUUUAUAGCAAAAUAGUUAGUAUUAAAUUUGAAUUUUUACAACGAUUUGUAAGACGUGACUUAAAAAUUUUUCACGCCCAGUCAAAAUAUUUGGCAUAUGUGCUUGGUACAUAUCACUUACAGAACGACGACUGCUUAUCUUUACGAUGUUUUUGUGAAUGAGGUGUAGCAAGUAUGGAUGUACAAUAUUUUCUAUCAAUGUGAAUGAAUAUCACUUCAAGUUAUUAAAUAUUUAGAAUGGUUUUUGCCACGAAUCAAGAAGUGUUAUUAUUGCUAUGAUUUAUUAAAUGUGAAGGAAAUAGAAAUCGGGUGAAAUUAGUGAAUUACUUAGAACUGAACUAUGAAUACACACACAAAACAACACACACACACACAUGUGUAUAUAUAUAUAUAUAUAUAAUAUUAAAAUGAGAAGGUGAUACAACACGUAGAGCAUGGAGUCGUUGAUAAUUCCUAGCAACCAAAGCAUCAAUGGAUCCGAAGUGGGAGUCCUCCUUCAGAAGGUAAUGGGGCCUCUCUCAACUGGGUAUAUGGAGCUCCAAAGCAGAGACCCAGACGAGAAUCCCAAAGUGACAUUCAAUUACUUGAAGGAUCCUAGAGAUUUGCAGAGGUGCGUGGAAGGCAUGGGAAUGAUGAAAAAGGUGGUGGAGUCAGCAUCUGUGACUGAGUUUGGAAGGCACAAUACUUCAUUUGAAACACUAUUGAGGUUAAUGUUGUCACUUCCCAUCAACAUGAGGAAGAAGCAUCUCAACGCAACUCAUUCAUUACAACAGUUUUGUAUGGACACAGUCGUCACUAUAUGGCAUUAUCAUGGAGGCUGCCACGUGGACCGGGUCAUCGAUCGUGAUCAUAAGGUGAUUGGUGUGGAUGCCUUGCGCGUCGUUGAUGGCUCCACUUUUUAUAACUCUCCUGGAACUAAUCCUCAGGCCACCGUUAUGAUGCUUGGAAGGUAAUCCUCUUUCCAUCUCGUGUUACAUAAUUUUCUGUAUCCUACUCCUGCACCCUUAUUAAAUCCAUUUAAAUCUUAUAGUAUAUCAAAUAUAUAUAGAGAUAGAAAUGAUCCAGUGAAAAUGGCCAAAUAUGAUGAAAAAUUAGAAUGAAUCUGGAACGUAAGAUUUUCAAAUGUGUUAUAUAUGAUUGAUAUUAAUUUACUUGGAGGGACGAAAAUUUCACUUGCGUUCGAAUUCGAGAGGGGGCAAAAAAUUCACCACAUUAACUGAAUAUGGCUAUUUGUAUAUUACACGCAGUUUAUUUGAUGAAUUAUGAGCACAAAAAAUAGUUAUUUUCACUGGAACUCAACCACAUAUAUAUAAAUGAAUGGUAAAAAUUGAUGCGAUCAAACGUAAAUAAUUAAAAUUUGAUGUGAAAUAAUUGAUGCUUAAAAUUAUAAUAUUACCCUAUAUAUUUAUGAAAAAAAAAUAUGAAAAAAAUACUAAUAAAGAAUUAAUUAGGAAUUUGAAAAUUAAAUACUAAAGAAUAGUUACAAAUCCUUGGAUAUGCUGAAUCCUAUUUAAUUAAUAGAUGAAAAAAAUAAAUGAAAUUAGAGUAAAUGAAACUGGUGAAAUAUAAAUGAAUAAAACUAGCAAAUUAUUAAAACAUGGAAUAAAUUAAGGACAAAAUUGGUAAGGGGGUUGGGUUGAACAUAUUAAUGAGAAAAUGACGAGCUACUCUAUAAUGAACAAAAUUAAUGACAAAUUAUUAAAACAUCAAAAAGUGGACUAAAGGAUGAAAUUGGUAGGGUAGGGUAGCGUGGGGGGGGGGGGGAGGAGGGCAUAUUAAUGAGAAAAUGAGCUACUCUAGCCAAUUUCACACAGUAAAAAAAAUUAUUCAUGAAAAAGGGGGCAUAUUAAUGAGAAAAUGAGCUACUCUAGCCAAUUUCACACAGUAAAAAAAAAUUAUUCAUGAAAAAAAAAACUAAACAUAUUAGCUUUUUUGGUAUAAAUUUACCAACAUACCAUUAAUGAUUUUUUUUAAAUAACAAAAUCAUUCAAAAAAAUAAAUAAAUUCACGACUAUACACACUUUUAUGAAAAUUGUGUUUAACAAUGUAAUAGUCAUGAAAUUCGUGUAAUAUUGUAUUUACAAUGUUACACACUUUUUUUUUCCGCAAAAGUGUGUAAUUGUGAAAAAUGUGCGUACGUAACAAUAUAAAAUAUGUUGUCAUAUAUUUUUCGUGACUAUUACACAAUUUUGCAAAAUGGUGUAAAUCGAAAAAUAUGUAAGAACGUAUUUUUCACUAUUACACAAUACAAGAGUAUUUUAGUUACAAUAAUUAUUAUUUUCAUAAUUUUAUCUAUAUAAAUAAAAUUUCUUUUAUUAUAUAGAUAGUUUUGGCUAACUGCUAACAUAAGGUGUUGCUUCUAUCGUAAUACUCUAUACUAUUAUUCUAGCUAUUGUAUUGUUAUAUUCCAGCUUGUGAUGCAGGUAUAUGGGCUACAAAAUCCUACAGCAGAGACAUUCUGGAAAAGAGAAUAAUUGAUCAAAUACAUGUAUUUCGGAAUAUGUAAAAAGAAUAAGAACUACAAAUAAACAAUAAGCACAUAUACAAAAGAUGCAGAUAUAUAUGUGGAAUGCUUACGAUUAUUUUGUUUAUAACUCGAGAAUAUGAAUUAACAUAGUAUUUUAGAAAAUAGUCCGAACUUUAAUCUUACUGUGACUUUUUAGCUCAAUGUACUUAUCUUUAUUGUUCACUUAAUUUAUAGUUUGAGUUAGAUUUUUCGAUCAAAUUAGAUUGGUUAUCCGAUUGAGUUCUAUACACCUAGCACCUGACAAGCUCAUAUUUGAUCAUCCGACUUAAUUUUGGCUAUUUGAGUUCGAUAUAAUUGUAUUUCUAAUCUAGAGAGUGAGUGAAUCAAACACGAAGUCAACCUAAGACCUCCUGAUGUUUUAGGCAGAGACAAUUUAUAAGGCGAAUCCCACAAUAUCUUGUGAUGCGGCAGUACAAGUACAACCUUUUCAGAACGCCAGUGUACGUACAAUGUUGCAGAACGUUGACAACAAUGUAUUCUGAAUCAAACAAGAAUAUUUCAAAUGCUCUGAGUCCAUAUUUUUUAAGAUCUCUCUCUAAUGAAACUAUUCAAAAAUCGCGGCUAUAAAUACUCGAAGACUUAACUUGGAUUACUACUGAAAUUGCUGCGAUUAUUAUUUCUCAAGCAUUCAAGCUCAAAAUCCUAGCUAUCUUUCAAUGCAGCGCAAGUGGCAAGAACGCUUAAAACAUUCAAGAUCUAAGGAAUGAAUGGUUAAUAUUUAUAUACACCUCGAUUCAUUAGAAUCCCCUUAUAAUUUUCAACUUCUCAUUCACAGACAAAAUAUUUACCAAAAACCCAACACUUAACUUCCUAUUACUCUUUGUGAAAUUCUUUCUCCAAUAAAACACAUCUCCCAACAAUUUACUAAAAUACAUUCUUUUUCAAAACCAAACCACUUUUUGUGAUUGGAGAGAAUAUAUCAAAAUUUUAAAUUAUCAUAACUUGUUCAUUUUAAAUCCAUUUUUACAUAUCAUAUAUCAAACUAAACUAAAGGUAUUUUUAUGGUUGUUCAUCCAUGACUUAUGUUAAAUAUUUUAAUUAAAACAUAAACAAAUGAAAAUGGAAGAAUGUUCGAUAUGAGAAAAAAAUGAAGAAAUUUAAAAUAUAAGAUCAAUCAUGGUUAAUUGAGAGGCUAAUGUAAGGUUAAUUUGAUUUUUAUACAUAGAUUUUAAAUUUUGCAUACAUUAUGAAAGAGAAUCUUUAAUGUAAAUCAUAGCGCAAGUGGUGUGCAGGCUAAAUAUAUUAAAAAUAUAUUUAUUUUAAAAGUAAAUUAUUUUAUUUAAUAAAUAUAUUAAUUAUUUUCUUAUGACAAAUAAAAUUAAUUAGAGAUUUAAUACAAUUAUUAUUAAUUUUAGUGGAUAAAUAUAAGUUGUAUCUACUAAUAAUUUAUAAGUAUUUUUGAAGCUGACGAACAUGUUCACGAGCUAACGAGUCGAAUACUACUAAGCUCAAGUUUGGUUUGUUAUUUAUCGAGCUUCCCGAAACGAACUUGAACGAAUUUUUUUCGAGCCGAGCUCCGAAUAGUUUGCGAGCGACUUGGUUUGUUUACACUCCUAAGUGUGCGUGUACUUGGGGUAGAUUCUGUCAUAAAAAAGAAAGAAAGUGGCCUACAAAUUUAUUACACCGUGAAAUUACUCAAAUACUCUAAUAGAACACUUAUAAUUAGUGUCUUAUCAGAUAUUUAUAUUGAAAGUAAUCAAAUAUUGUAAUGGAACUCGAUUCAAAUAUAUUAUAUUAAUUAUUUAAAUCUUAAACACUUCUUCUUCUUCUUCUCGGUUAGGAAGUUGAGAGAGAUAUCAAAUUAUCGAUAUUAAUUAUGUUAAGGUCUGAUAUUUUAUUACUCCCUCCGUCCCACUGUAAGUGAGACCUUUUUUUGGGCACGGGAAUUAAGAAAGAUGUAUUUUGUGUGUAGAUGAAAAAGUGAAAAGGUGUUUAAAUGGAAAAACUUUUACCCAAAAAGGAAAGAGUCUCACUUACAGUGGGACGCACAAAAUAGAAAGAGUCUCAGAUACAGUGGGACGGAGGGAUCGGAGUAUUAUUAUUAUUAUUAUUAUUAUUAUUAUUAUUAUUAUUAUUAUUAUUAUUACUCCCUCUGUCCCAAUAUUGUUGGCCACAUUUCCUUUUUAGUUUGUCCCACUAUUGUUGGCCACUUUCCUAAAAGGGAAAUAUUUAUCACAUUCAAUCUCUUACUUUAUCACAUUAUCUCUCCUACUUUAUCACUUUAUUACAUUCUCUCUCCUACUUUAUCACAUUAAUGUGAUAAUAAUAAAAUCGUCACAAUUUAAUUAUAUUCAGUGGCAACAUCAUCCGUGACAAUAAAUAGAUUUGCAGUGACAAUAUUUUGUCGUCGUCACUGUAGCUUUUAGCGACGGUUGAUAUAGCCGCGACUUACCGACGACCACAAAAGUUGUCACUGGGAUGCUUUAGUGACAAUUUUGACACAUAUAGUGACAAAAAUUGUCGCCACUAAACCAUUUUUUUUGUAGUGAUAGAUUAUUUUCUUUUUUGUCAUGCAAAAUAUCUUUUGAAUGAAAUAUCAUAAUGUAUAUUAAAUAGUAACAGUUUAUGAAAAUAGGUUUAAUUAGAUAUACAAUAUUUAUGAAUUGAAUUAGUUAUGAUAAUUUAAAUUUUCAACAUAUUAUUUGAAUGAAAUAUUUUUUAUUUUUAUUUUUCUUAUAUAUAUAUAUGUAUAUAUAUAUAUAUAUAUUAUUUGUAUUUGACUAUUAAUUAUAAUUUUGNGUAACUUAAACGUUACUACUACUAACGUAAAGUAGUAGUACUACUUAAACUUAAACCCCUUACCCCUAACUUAACUACUACUACUCUCUCCUCUCUCUCUCUCUCUCUCUCUCUCUCUCUACCAUCUCCCUCAUUCUCCCUCUCUAAAUUCGCUCCACCAUUUCCCCUCUGUUCCGCCGCCUUCGCCUCCCCCUUCCCCCUCUGUAAAUCUGCUCCCCCAUGAAUUAGGGCUCGUCGCCGCCUCCGCCUCUGCCUGCCUCUUGCCUCUCUUCUCACGCCGUCUCUCGCCGUCAGGUCGCCUCUUCUCUUCUCCACCAUUCAUGGUGCUUCGCCUCUCCUCCUCUGUUCCGCCGCCGUCGCCGCCUCCCUCUUGCCUUCGCCCUCCCGCCUCUUCGCCUCUCCCGGUUUUUUUUUUCCUUCAGAAAUUAGUGCUCACCACCACCGCCCUUCGCCUCUCCUCCUCUGCCAUGUCGGGAACCCGGUGCCCGUCGGGCGCGCGCGAGCCCAGCGGUACAGGGUGCCUCAAGUGCUUGCGAACCCGUCGGCGCAUGCGAUGCAUGUCGGGAACCCGAUGCCGUCGGGAACCCGGUGCCCGUCGGGCGCGCGUGAGCCCCGUCGGGUACAGGGUGCCUCAAGUGCUCGCGAGCUCCGUCGGGGGACGUGUGCCUACGAGGCGAGGAUCGUCGGGCACUCUGUGCCUACGGCGCACGAUAUUGCCCCUAGUUUCAUAAAACUUACAACAUAUGCUACUAUGAGGUUUUUUCUUCGAUGUAAGUGAUUAUCGAAGGGAAAUAUAUAUCAUCAAUACUCGCGAGCGUCGGGCUCGGCGCGUGCCGACACACGUCGAGGGUAAAUCGAGAACGUGUGAGGCCCUUCGAGAUGUGGCUCUAUGCCCAGUUGGUUGAAACAUAUUUGAUUUUUAACUACAAGAUUUUUUUCUCCGAUGCCGGUGUCUGACAAGGCGUAAUCUUUCAUCAAAAUCAAAACAUUCGGACGUCGGAUGCCGAUGAUUUUNUGUUUGUGGUUAGCAAAAAUUUGUUGAAGAAAUUGUUCUUGGGCUAAAGAUUUGAUUUUUAUUCUUGUUCUUUUGCUUAAUUUUGUUCACUGCUCCGAAUGGAGAGAGGCGGCGAUGAGGCAGGUGGCUGUGCCGACGCCGGGGAGGGAGGUGGCGCAGGUGUGGCUCCGCCGCCUACUGUUGCCGGGAGGAGGUGAAGAAGAAAGAAGAUAAACACAAAAAUAAUUAGUUGAUACUUACUUUUUCUAAAACAAGUGCGACCUUACAAUUUACAACACUAACUCAACACUCCUUAAUCUCCGUGCCCAAAAGAAAGGGGACAAGAUUACCGGGACGGAGGGAGUACUAUAUUACCCACACACUUAAAAUACUAAUCUACAACUCCUUAAUUCCCGUGCCGAAACCAAAUGUGGCCAACAAUAUUGGGACGGAGGGAGUAUUAUUUAAAAUUCAUGAUCUAUCUAUGUUUCUUGUUUUCCAUGUUUUUCCUACUAGGGUGUAUUCUAUUUUUUUUUUUUUGUAAAUUUAUCAUGGGAAAAUGAGGAAUAAUCAAAAUUUCACUCUUUAAAUCAUUCUUUUCUUUUCUCUCAUUUCCUACUUGACCCUUAUAUUUUCACUACAAAUAAGGGAUAAUAUUAUAUAUCCCUUUAAAAAUGGUGUGAUAAUAUUAUCCAUCAUUUAUAGUGAAAAUAAAGAAUGAGUAAGGGUCAAGUAGGAAAUAAGGGAAAAGAAAUUAUGAAGGAUUUAAAGGGUGAAAUUUUAUAUAUUCUUCAUUUUCUCAUGAUAAAUUUACAGCCAAUUAAAGAAAACGCAUCCUUAAAAUUAGAUAUAUUAAAUUAAAUAAAAUUAAUGUAUGGUUGAAUCAUUUAUGGAUACGUGGUUUUUCCCAUCUUCUCUCCACGUUUUUCGCAAAAUGUGAAUAGCCAUGAAGCUUUGAACAUUACAUGAUAAUUGUUGAUCCUACAAUUCGGCGCAAAAUUAUAUUUAGACAGUUUUAUGCUUUCAAUAAGCGCCAUCUAACAGCAGGACCAUCAAAUAUGAGAGCCUUUUUAUUAUAAUCUAGGGGUAAUGGCAUGUAAAUCCAUAAUGUUUAUACGGAAUUGAUUUUUGUUCAUAUUUUGAAAAAUGUGGCUCCUAAGGGCGUGUUUGCUGCUCCAUAUGGGAUUANNNNNNNNNNNNNNNNNNNNNNNNNNNNNNNNNNNNNNNNNNNNNNNNNNNNNNNNNNNNNNNNNNNNNNNNNNNNNNNNNNNNNNNNNNNNNNNNNNNNNNNNNNNNNNNNNNNNNNNNNNNNNNNNNNNNNNNNNNNNNNNNNNNNNNNNNNNNNNNNNNNNNNNNNNNNNNNNNNNNNNNNNNNNNNNNNNNNNNNNNNNNNNNNNNNNNNNNNNNNNNNNNNNNNNNNNNNNNNNNNNNNNNNNNNNNNNNNNNNNNNNNNNNNNNNNNNNNNNNNNNNNNNNNNNNNNNNNNNNNNNNNNNNNNNNNNNNNNNNNNNNNNNNNNNNNNNNNNNNNNNNNNNNNNNNNNNNNNNNNNNNNNNNNNNNNNNNNNNNNNNNNNNNNNNNNNNNNNNNNNNNNNNNNNNNNNNNNNNNNNNNNNNNNNNNNNNNNNNNNNNNNNNNNNNNNNNNNNNNNNNNNNNNNNNNNNNNNNNNNNNNNNNNNNNNNNNNNNNNNNNNNNNNNNNNNNNNNNNNNNNNNNNNNNNNNNNNNNNNNNNNNNNNNNNNNNNNNNNNNNNNNNNNNNNNNNNNNNNNNNNNNNNNNNNNNNNNNNNNNNNNNNNNNNNNNNNNNNNNNNNNNNNNNNNNNNNNNNNNNNNNNNNNNNNNNNNNNNNNNNNNNNNNNNNNNNNNNNNNNNNNNNNNNNNNNNNNNNNNNNNNNNNNNNNNNNNNNNNNNNNNNNNNNNNNNNNNNNNNNNNNNNNNNNNNNNNNNNNNNNNNNNNNNNNNNNNNNNNNNNNNNNNNNNNNNNNNNNNNNNNNNNNNNNNNNNNNNNNNNNNNNNNNNNNNNNNNNNNNNNNNNNNNNNNNNNNNNNNNNNNNNNNNNNNNNNNNNNNNNNNNNNNNNNNNNNNNNNNNNNNNNNNNNNNNNNNNNNNNNNNNNNNNNNNNNNNNNNNNNNNNNNNNNNNNNNNNNNNNNNNNNNNNNNNNNNNNNNNNNNNNNNNNNNNNNNNNNNNNNNNNNNNNNNNNNNNNNNNNNNNNNNNNNNNNNNNNNNNNNNNNNNNNNNNNNNNNNNNNNNNNNNNNNNNNNNNNNNNNNNNNNNNNNNNNNNNNNNNNNNNNNNNNNNNNNNNNNNNNNNNNNNNNNNNNNNNNNNNNNNNNNNNNNNNNNNNNNNNNNNNNNNNNNNNNNNNNNNNNNNNNNNNNNNNNNNNNNNNNNNNNNNNNNNNNNNNNNNNNNNNNNNNNNNNNNNNNNNNNNNNNNNNNNNNNNNNNNNNNNNNNNNNNNNNNNNNNNNNNNNNNNNNNNNNNNNNNNNNNNNNNNNGAUUUGUUCAGUAGUCUAUCGGUUGAAGNAAAGAAGGAUUACGUUCACUACCUCAUUGCGGAGAAGUUGAAGAAUGAUUGAUGGAAGUAUUUUGCCGCGAUGCCAUUGUCUUGUAGGUUUAAGUUGCUUUUAUGUUUGAAUUGAUCUACCCUAUUCGAAUAGUUGAACUUACAUUGGAAACUUAGGUUUAGUCAUUAUUGUUUAUGAUUAGUGACCAGUUUUUUAUGGGAAUUUUUACAUGAUAUUAUGCCAUAUGAUUUAUAGAUGCUUUAUAUGAUAUUGAUAUUUCUAUGAUGGGUAUUGUAUCGGGCAGUUGGCGUGCUGUUUCUAGUCACUUUGCUCUUGCUACAUUUCUAUUUUUUAUGAAAUUGAUAUUUCUGGAAUCGCAGAUCGUAUUUGGAAUAAUCUCAUUUCUAUUUUUUAGCUACAUUUCUGGUUUUAGAUUUUGAUAGUAGCCAUGAAUUGUUUUUGGAUUGAUUGAUAAAGAUUCUUGUUUUUGUACCCCAGAUCUUGUUGGUUUUAUUUUCUUUUUGUUGCCUUUCUGGCUUGGUUGAUCGGUAUAUGAAUUAGCAAUGAUGAUGAUGAUGAUUUGCAUUUCCUUCAUUCAAUUCACUGCCAGCUCCCAUUAAACUCUUAUUUUAUAUGGUAUAUAGAAAGAUAUGAUGCAAGUUUGUGCAUGGUGUUAGGAUUGAAAUCAAAUCAGUUUUUAUUAUGGGAAAAGCAUGCAAAUUAAAAGAACAAAUUGAAAGAAGAAUCCAUUAAAACGUGUAAAUUCGGAAAUAAGGCAAGAAAAUUAUGCCUCUAUCUCCACGGACUCUGGGACGACGCGCAUGAGCUGCCCUUCCUGCCCCGGUUCUGUUUUUCGGUAGGCGCAGGAAUGAUGAGCUCUAUCGACGGCCAGUCCGUGCAACUGUUUAUAUCCUUUGGAGUUUUGCCGUCAUCUUCAACAAACAAGCGUCUGACCGGUGGUGGCUUUCUCAUCACUAUUGGUGACGUUUCAUCAUCAUCAUCAGAUGAGUCGUCAACAAGUACUAAAGUUGGAGUUGCUUCUAUGGUGGACGGAGUGUCGGUAAUAAUAAUUAUAUUCGGCGAAGGGACUUUUUCAGACUUCAUUGAUCCACACCCGAACAAUCGAGCCAUCUCACGGAAAAGAGGCUCGUCCUCAUAAAAAUAUGAGCGCACGAAAGGAUCAUCCUUCAAAAUAAGAUAAAACACGUUAAUAAUGGAUUUUUUCUUGUUAUAAAAAAUACAACUAUUAAGUACCUUGAUCAUGGUUUCCCAGACAACUUCUGCCGCAUUUACUAUUUUCCUCCCAGUGUCCCAGGAAGUAUCAACACGCUUGUUGAUCUUAGUGAAACAAUUAAAUCGUUUUUCCAAAAAAUCGACACGCUGCUCGACAUCAACAAUACAUAUUGGUGGUCUGCUUCGUAGGUUGAUGGCAUGCAUCGCAGAAAGCUUAGCAUAGGGAGAUUGAUGCGGAGCAAUUGGGUGGCAUUCGGAUUUCAUUGAAAGCAGAUGAUUUAGGAGUUCACGAUCGCGAUCCUCGGACCAGAAACUAUUAUAGAAGUAGUAGGCUUGGUCCUUGAUAUUAUCGGAAGACAUGAUCGAAUGGCAAAGAAAAAAUAUUAGCAAACGAAAGACUUUGAUAUUAGAAGUUGGUGUAUGGUGUUUAUUUAUAGCCUAAGAAAUGGGUGUGAAUAACCAAAAGAUUUGGUUGGAAUAAGUCAUAACAAAAUCCAUGCGAAAAGUGUUAAUUUGUUAAUUUGUUAAUUUGUUAAUGGAAGAAUUCUAGUCAAAUGGUUGUGUUAUUAUAAUAUAUAUACUAUUAUUUGUUGCUCUAUUAUUAAAUAAUAUCAUAAUCACACGUGUAUGAAUGAUGGUUUAUUCAAAAAAGAUGGUAAUGAUGUAUUUAUUAUGCAUGUACUUUAUCAUAUAUUAUGUUGUAAUAUAAGAUAAAAAAAAUAUCAAGGGCUCAUCUAUUAGUAAAGAUGGCACUGGAACAUCAGUAUAGUCUGGUAGUUGGAGUUGAAGGUGUCAGAAAUUCUCGGAAAUGCGUGUAUUUCUCUGAAUUGAGUGUGCUGACAUUGAAAUCUUUCAACAAAUGAAGUUAGAAUGAAAAGCUGGGAUUUGUUAGCAAAGAAAGUCUUUAGAAGGCAGAAAUUAGGGUAACAGCAGUAUACAAUUCUUGUAUUUUGUUUUACUAGGAAAAAAGUUGAGUUAUUUGUAUAGAAAGAAGUGCUCAUUACAAAAAAUGUUGAGUUAUUUGUAUAGAAAGAAGUGCUCAUUACAUAUUUCCUUGAUGUGUUUGACUAUGCUAAAUAUUGAUAAUCUAGGUGAAUGAAAUCAAUAAUGACUUCACAGAAGAAUGAAGGUAACUAGAUUAUCUAAUAUUAUGGAUACUUACAUUUUCUGAUGCAGGCAUGGGACACUACUUCUAUCUCUCUCACAGCUGGUUGUGAUCUGUUCAUGCGGUAUGUGAUCUAUUUCACCAUAUAAUUGCAAAUUGUGCUACAAAUGAAGUACCAGAGUGUUUCGCAGUGAAAGUGGAAGACCAAAUGGAAGCAAAUGCAUGCACUGGGAAAACAGCAAGGCCGCUAUAUCUAAAUUGGCUUGCCAUGGAUAGCCAUCAAGGAACAUAAAAGGUUAGAUUAAAUUCUGAAACUAUCAGUAUAGCCGAUGCAAUCAGAUCUAAGUAUUAAGUGCCACACCUCUCCAUUAUCUGGAAUGCUAGGAUAAAACUGUUAAAGCUUUUGAGGAUAUAGGCAUGGCAGUGGGNUUUUUACAACAGAAGAAGUAGUAGUUUGUUAUGGGGAAAAGAAGCCAAAACGUAAACAAAUAGAGGUGGGUCGCAUGUUGACACUUUCAUCACUUCAUGGGGAUUUUUAUAAAAUUUGAAUCUAUUUAUCACUAACAAAGAGCCUCCACCAUCUCCUUUUGUCUCUCUCUCUCUCCCCACCACCACUGCUCUCAUCCACUCUCCUCCUACCAUUUUUGCAGACAAUUAUAAAAUCUAAUUUACCAUAAAAGUAGCAUUACUUUAUUGCAGUCAAUUACACAUAGUUAAUUUAACAUAAAUUACUAAUAUAGCCCAUACAUAAGAUUUAAAGCCAUGAAAACAAUAUUGGCUUUAAAAACAAUUUGAAAAAAGAGUCCAACCAGCACAAUCAUUACAAACAGAAAGUUGGCAAUUAGAUUUUGCACCAAUAACUGAUUUUGCAGGCACCUUAUAUAGAAUUUUCAAGCUAAGCCACAAUUAUAAAAGUUCAUCUCUUUGAGGCAUUUUAUCGAACAGUUUUCAGGCCUAAACUCCCAUGGCAAACAUAAAUCCCAAGCAAUCGUUGUGAUGACAAAUAUUGUGACUAAAGACAGAAAAGGAAGCCAGCGAGUUUGUGAAAUUGAGAACUCAUUGUAAAUGGAAAAUGUAAAUUUCAAUUCACAACAAUAAUUGAAAGGAGCAAAUUUGUGCAAGAAUAAUUGCAGCAAACACGUAGAACUACUCACAGAUGAACACAAACUCACAUACAAAUUACAAACAGAUUGAUAAUAAUGGAUUACAGCAUAUACCGUUCACAAAUUCCCGGAAAUAGUUCGGCAGAGGAUCGACCGGCAGAUUUUGCGGCGUCUUCUUCCUGUAAUAUAACACAACACAAUCUCGAAAAGCAUUUAGCAGCAAACACCAAACUGUCAAACAUUGCUAAACAAUCAAACAUAUCAGCAAUUACCAAAUUCUCAAACUUAAGCUUCUUAUUGAAAUUCUAAAUCGUUUCAGUGAGGAAGAAAGACAGCCGAAUGUGAAAUUGAGUUGAAAUUAACAAUGGAGUUUGUUAAUUUCAGUUCACAACAGCAAUUUAUGAAGCAAAUUUGUGCAAUAAAUAUUUAUAUACAUACAUCAACUACUCACAGACGAUUCUAAUGUCACCAACUCAAGCCCAAAUCAAAAACAUAUUGAAUAGGAAAAUGGAUUACAGCAUAUACCAUGUUCAAAUCCUAGAAUUCGUUUCGGACUUUUAUCAAACAGUUUAUUGGCGUGACAAAUAAUAUGUAAUCUCUAGAAUUCGUGAAAUCAAAAAAAUAUUCUAUGAGGAAAAUGAAUUAUAACAUAUACCGUGAAAUAUUCCCAGAAAUAGUUCGGCCUGUUCUUCUACGGCAGAAUUUUGCGGGGAAGAAGGUCUGUUCUUGCACGGCAGAUUUUACGGCGACUUCUUCCUGGGCGAUUUAUGUCAAGAAUGAUUGUGGAAGAGCGGGUGCCGAUGAUUUGUAUUUGCGUCUGAUAUUUUGUGAAAUUUGAGGGCAAAAAUGGGAAAUGAAAUCAAGAUAAAUAUGUGGUUACCGUAUCCGAGGGGGGGUGAGGGUUACAUAAUCAGUAGUAAUCCGUGUAUUAUGGACCGGGCCUUGCAUAAUCAAGGGCUGUACGUGUUACGCUAAAAGACCACCAUCCGCCAAUAAUAGACUGUAUUAUUAUGCUAAUACUGCAUAAACCAUAGCAGCAAACACGCCCUAAAUACAUAAUCUAAUUUAUUUUGUCUCGUUUUUCUUCUAUCACUAAUUUUUUCUUAAUUUGACGCUGAAAAUUACACGGUGGCAGUCGAAAUUGAUGCGUUGGCAGCCGGAAAUUGACACCUAGACACAUUUAGGACAUGUGAAAAAAAAUAAUAAAAAAAAUUCACAUCAUCAUCCUCCCCAAUUCCCCAACUUCCAAACCCUAACUUCCCCUUCCCCCACCCGUCGGCGCUGCCUGCCGCCACCACACGCCGGCGCCGGCCGCCCCUUUUCCCUCCCCAGACCCAUUUUCCCUCCCUCUCCUCGGACCUCGACUGCCCCUCCCCCAUCCCCAAACCCGUCUUCCCCUCUCCCAUCCCCAGAGCCCGGCGCUGGCCGCCCCCUUUAAACGGCGAAAUCGCUAGCUCGUAUUUCCGUCAAUCCCUCCUGAAAAAUCUGCACAAAUUCGCCCAUGAAUUAUUGCGGCGAUUGGGAUCGGAGUAGCCGUCGGAUUCUUCGCCCAUAGAUUCUUCUCCACAAUUUCACCCAUUUGGUGGUGGUGGUAGGAAAUGGCGGAGAUUUGGGGUUGGGGGAGGGGGGCGCCGGGAUCUGGGGAUGGGGGAGGGGGCGGCCGGCACCGGCGUGUGGUGGCGGCAGGCGGCGCCGGCGGGUGAGGGAAGGGGAAGUUAGGGUUUAGAUGUUGGGGAAUUGGAGAAGAUGAUGAUCGAUGUGGAUUGUUUUUUUUUUAUUUUUUUUUUCACAUGUCCUAAAUGUGUCUAGGUGUCAAUUUUCGGCCGCCAACGCAUCAAUUUACGGCUGCCACCGUGUAAUUUCCAGCGCCGGAUUAAGAAAAAAUUGGUGACAGGAGAAAAACGAGAUAAAAUAAAAGGUUAUGUUUUUAAGGACUACAUUUUUUCAAAAUAAAAACAAAAACUAAUUCCGUGUAAACGUUAUGAAUUUACAGGCAAUUACCCCUAUAAUUUAUAUGCAAAUUGAAUGUAAGUAUCUAAUGUGGCGUGAAGUGUUCAGAAAUAUAUUUCACAAAUUUGAGUAUGUGAUAUGUGGUCCAAACCAAGCAAAUACAACCAUAUUAAUGCUCCUGUCGAUCAAAUUUGAAAGCGACAUGAUAUAAUCCUAACGUACCAAAUUAACCUAAUUUAGGCACUUCAACUAUAGUAUUGGCUAAGAUAUACAACAACUAGCUCUUUAUUAUGGAGGUGAUGUGGUUCUAUCCAUCCACUACGAAAUAAAUCGGUGUUGCCUAAACCACUCCGCCUCCACAUGCGCAAGGAUGAAACUUUUCUGUCACCGAGGGAUAGGAGACUAGAUGUAAGCGUUUAAGUUUAAUCAAAUAUUAGUAAUUCAUAGUGAAAUGUAUUUAUUUUAAUACAAUUUUCAAUUGUUAUGUCUCAAUUAGGGGAGAUUCGUCGCAUUGCUGUUGAGACUGGGCGAGAGGACCGCUGCCUGAGAUCUACUUGGAGGUCGUACGGCCCGACAGGUCCGGCUCUAGGCACUGGAAGUGCCGUAGACAGGUUAGUAGGGGGUCCUCAAAGCACACACUUCCAUGAUGUCUCAGCAGCUGUAUGAGACACGGAUCUCCACGCUGGAAGAGCGCCUUCAGGCCGAACAAGCAGCAGUGAGGCCGAAGAGAGGCUUCUCGAGCAGAGUGAGGCCCUCGAGCAGCGUAUGGCUCAAUUCGAGGAUUCAUGAGGCGGUCGGGUCAGCUACCUUGAGCAGCACUUCAUGUUUUGGAACUAUUAAUUUAUGUUUUGGACUAUUUAAUUCAUGUUUUGGAACUAUUUGUUUGAACUAUGUUUAGGAACAAAAUUACACUUGCACUUUCUUUUUACAUUUAUGUUAUGUUGAGCAACUAUUAAUUUCAUGUUUUCAAACAACAUUACAUUACUUCGUAACAAAGUAAUAAAUUCAAAAUAAGACGAAUGGAAAUAAAUUCAAAUUACUUAUCUUAUAACAAAUUAUCUCCCUUGUUUUUUAUAAAAAUAAGGACGUAUGGAAUAAAUUCAAAAUACAAUUAUCAAAUAAAAUACUUAUGGUGUAUAAACUAGAUUGAUUAAAAAUAAUAAUAAUAAUAAUAAUAAUAAUAAUAAUAAUAAUAAUAAUAAUAAUAAUAAUAAUAAUAAUAAUAAUAAUAAUAAUAAUAAUUAUAAAUAAAUACUUUUGCGACAUAAAAAUAAAGACAAAAACGAGUUCGAUCCGUAAUUAACAGCAUCUCAUGGAUACCAUCUCGAUAUAUUAUAAGGUUAUGAAUAUAUGAUUUUGUAUAUUGAAUUAGACUUUAAAUGAAUUAAUAGGUACUAUAUAUAUCAAUAAUACGAGUGUUCUGUACUGGUGACAUUCGAAAGAACUUCAAAGUUAAGCGCUUGACUUAGAGCACAACUAAGAUGGGUGACGACUGGAAGUUCUCUAACUUAUGAAAUAAAUAAAUAAAUAAAAUUAAUUAAUUAAUUAAUUAAUUAAUUAAUUAAUUAAAUUUCAAAAAAAAAUUAACGGCGGCAUUUCCGCGGAAUGAAAUAGUCCGGCACACCCGCUGUGGUGAAGAUGCGGCAAAAACGCCGCCGAAAUACCGGCGGCAUUUGCCGGAUGUGCCGGCAGGUCCGUCCCACUAAUUAAUGGCGGACUACCGCCGGUAAUCGGCGGCGUGUGUUGCCGCCGGUAAUUGUGUUACCGCAACGAGAAAUUUACCGGCGGCGUCUCACUGCCGGUAGUUCAUUUUCCGGCGGCCGCCUCGCCAUUACCGACGGUAAACGCUGCCGGUAAUCCUAUGUUUUUAUGUAGUGAUAUAUCUGCAUCCCUUGGACAUCUGGAUGCAUCGUACAUCCGAACGUAUAGGAGAAUUUAUAUACUUUACUCUCUAAUCAAGUGGUCUCCACUUAAUUUACACCCUUAAUAUCUCAUUAUUUUUUCAUGUUUCGAUAAAAUGAGUCAAUUAUUAAUGGAAUUGAGAUAGUAUUAUUUGAGUAUUUUGAAAUAAAAAAAUAAUAGAAGAAACUAAAAAUCUCGAAAAGAAAGGUAAUAUAAUUGAAUUUGCACAAAUUUAAAAUCUUACAAUUACAAUUAAUUUACGUCCAUCAAGCGGUACUGUAAAAUCUAGGGUUUAAAUGUAUUGCUCCCACCUUCCGAAUAAAGAUAAAUAAAUUACCAUUUAUAAAUUAAUCAACAAUUUUACAGUUUACAAAAAUGAAAACAAAAAAAUGAAAUAAUAAAAAUGGUUCGGAAAGGUGCCUGAGUUGAAACCCGAUUUGGCAUUUGUAGUCCUAUGUGAAAAUGUGUGGACAGCUACGAGAAAUCCGGUACUUAUCAACUAACUCUUUUAAUGAGUGACUGAAAUCUUUAUAUGAAGCGUGUCCUUAUAUAAUUUAGUUCAACAAUAAUUUACUCUCAUUAUAUUCCUCAGAAAAAAGAGUUGCAAAAAUCUUUGUGCCAGAAAGAAUGUCAUGCCUCUUUAUACGCUGCUGAGAGUUUUCUUUUCUUUUGAUGCUCUACUUAUAAAGAAGAGUUGUUCACUGAUGUGUUUCUGUGUAAAAUAUUAUUCUCUAAGUUCAAGAAGCUGUUAGUUGAUCUUCAUUUCUUUCGCAUCUAUAGUUCUCGCACUGUCGCACAUAUCAUGGAUUCUGCAAACUGGGUUUCUCUUGGGAUUUUCUUCCUCGUCGUUUCUUCAUUUGCAGAGAAAGGUAUCUCGCUGUCCCUCUCAAAUACAUAUAUACAUGCACUGUGAUUCACAAAUUUAUUCUAACUUGCUGCUUACUUGAGCCGUCCUUUAUUAUUAAUGUCAUUCUGCAAUUAAUGGAAAUGAAACUGCUAUUAAUCCAUAUCUUUUAUUAUUAUUUCGGUGGUAGGGGAAUUGAACAUUCAGUAGAGGACAAUUGCCUCAAAAUCAAGGAAACAUAGCACGUAAUUUUAAAGUUUGUCCCAAAAUACAUUUUGUUUUUGAAUUUUCUCAUGAAUUCAGCCAUAUGUGAAAUAUCAAAAUUGUCUUUUGGAUUUUCGGUUUGUGAGGAGAAAAAAAAAAAAGAAAAAAAAAGAGGACGUAAAUUUUGUAACAAAUUAUAAAAUUUAUGAGCAAAACUAAUUAAAAUGCAGUAAAAUUUGUAAAUUUAUAAUUUACGUACAAAAACAAAAACAAUCCAAAUUAACUAAAUUUUAGGCAAUUUACCUUUUAAUUUCAUUUUUAUUAAUAGGUUGAUAAAUUAAAAAUUAAGUAUACUUCAUAAUAUUAAUAAAUUUUAUUUUUAUAAAAAUUACUAUUAAAAUAUACUUCAUUCGUCCCACUUAUCUUGACACUUUUACUUUGGACACGAAAAUUAAGAAUAAGUGGUUAAUAGUGUAAAGUGGGCGGGAACCACUUGUUUGAUGUGUGUAGAGAAAGUAAAGAUCAUAUACUCCCUCCGUCCAUCAAUUCAAGUCCUACUUUCCUUUUUGGUCCGUGCACCAAUUUAUGUCCUACCCAUUUUAGUAACUAUUUAUACAUUUUUUAAUUGGUGGGUCCCAAUAAAUAAUACUCCAUACUUUUUCUCCACUCAACUAAUAAACAAUACACUUUGUGGGUCCCUUUCUCCACUGAACUAAUAAACAAUACACUUUUUCUUAAAACCUGUGUUUCCUCCUUUAGGUCAUGAAUUAAUGAACGAAUGGAGUAUUAUUUUUGGAAUGUGUCAUUAUAAAUAAAAUAAAUUAAAAAAAAGUAUAUCAGAAUAAGUGGGACAUAAAGAGUAAUAAUUAGGAGGGAGUAUGACUGGAUGACACACAAGUAUAUUCAGCAAAGAGCGUGAAAGGAAUCCUUUCUUUUCCUAACCAAAGAGAAAAAAUGGAAAAGAACCUUAAAUGCAUUGAACUCUAAAACACAAAAAAGUUAGGCACCAAGCUGACUCAUUGUUUGCUAAUUAACUAGUUGUUGUUUGUAUUGCAUUAACUAGCUCCAUACCCGUCCUUCGUUAAAGAUGCGACCUCAGCUCCACCACUAGACUACUACGACUACAUUAUCAUCGGCGGCGGAACCGCCGGUUGCUCGCUGUCGGCGACGCUCUCCACCGGCGCAAAGGUGCUCCUCCUCGAGAGGGGAGGCCUCCCCUACGACAACCCCAACGUCACCCAGAUCACGGGCUUCAUCAAAUCACUAGCCGACACGUCGCCCACCUCCGCCGCCCAGCUGUUCGUCUCCACGGACGGCGUGUUCAACCACCGCGCCCGCGUGCUGGGCGGCGGCUCCGCCAUCAACGCAGGGUUCUACACGCGCGCCAGCGGCGACUACGUAAAUGAGGUCGGGUGGGACCCGCGGCUGGUGAACGAGUCGUACGAGUGGGUGGAGCGGAAGGUGGCGCACCGGCCGCAGAUACUGCAGUGGCAGGCGGCGGUGAGGGACGGCCUGCUCGACGCCGGCGUCACCCCCGACAACGGCGUCACGUACGAGCAUCUGCGUGGGACCAAAGUUGGGGGCUCCAUCUUUGAUGAGAAUGGGAUUCGGCACACCGCUGCCGAUUUAUUAGAGUAUGCUCAUCCUCCCUUCAUCACUGUUUAUUUGCACGCCACGGUCCACCGAAUCUUGUUCAGGACCGCACCAGGUCAGACUCUAAUAAGUCCUUAUCCUAUGCCUAUUGAAAAACGGAUUUAUUUCAUAAAAAUACAAAUAAUAUUUGGGUUGUUGCAGGGCGAAGGCCCAAGGCAAUUGGAGUUUUGUUCAAAGACUCAAACGGGCGUAACCACAGAGCAUACUUGAGCAGUGGAGGCGCGAGUGAGGUAAUUCUAUCAGCUGGCGCAAUGGGCAGCCCGCAGCUUCUGAUGUUGAGUGGCAUUGGGCCGGGCCCGGAGCUACGGGCCCGAGGGAUAAACGUAGUAAUGGAGCAAGCAUUUGUGGGGCAGGGGAUGUCUGAUAAUCCAAUGAAUGCCUUGCUCAUACCUUCCCUUCGGCCCGUCGAGAUCUCCCUCGUUCAAGUUGUCGGCAUUUCGAUGUAGGCAGCUACAUCGAAGCAGCCAGUGGAUUUGUCGAGCUCUCUUCGAUUUAUGACUUCGUUCAAGACUACACCAAUGUCGCAAACCAGGUCAGUCCAUUCAUUCAUGCUACCCCAAACUCUCUUACAUCUUGUGUCUCACUAUUUGCUCUCGAUCGUAUACUCUACUUUUCUUUAGUCAUAUCACAUUGUGCUAUGGAAAUACGGACAUCUCACACGAAUUGAACGAACAAGUGUUAAUUAGUGGAAUGCGCCGCCAUUUUUCUAAGGAAAUAAAAAUUCUCUAUCCCACAAAUUUGAUGCUUCACUUGUAUAUAUACCACUGCACCUUCAAUUUUUUAAGUGGGAAUCAAUUAAAGGAGUAUUAAAUAUGAUUUUGGUGUGCACAGACCGUAGAGCCCUUCAUAUUCCCCACGAAUCAAACCAUGCAAGAGAUCUUGCAAGGAUCGAAAGCAAAUCAAGGGCAGAACGGUAAAGUUGCGAUAGUGUUGCAGAAAAUAAUGGGGCCAUUGUCAAGCGGGUACAUGGAGCUGGAGAGCAGGGACCCGAAUUCGAACCCGAGAGUGACGUUCAACUACUUCGAGGACGCAAGGGACGUGGCGAGGUGCGUGGAAGGCAUGGAGAUCUUGAGGAAGGUGGUCCAAUCGCGGGCGGUGUCGGAGUUCCUCUACCCCUUCACCUCAUUCGAGUCCCUGCAGAGGUUCAUGCUGUCUGUGCCCAUCAACUUACGAGGGAAACACGCAGCCUCUACCUACUCCAUGGAGCAGUACUGCAGGGACACCGUCAUGACCCUGUGGCACUACCACGGGGGCUGCCAGGUUGGCCGCGUCGUUGACGGCGAUUACCGCGUCAUCGGGGUCGAUUCCUUGCGCGUCAUCGACGGCUCCACAUUUUAUUUCUCGCCGGGGACCAACCCUCAGGCCACAGUUAUGAUGCUUGGAAGGUUAAUUAUUAUUUCUCAUAUGUUGGGGUUGGGGAAAUUAAUAUUGUUUACUAACUUCUUGUCAUGCAUGCAGGUAUAUGGGACAGAUCAUUCUGGAAGACAGAAAUCCUCAAAAAGAAAAUUAGGUAUUAGAUGUUAGUUUGAUUUGAUUCUGCUCAAAAUGUAACGCGAGUUGUGGUGUUUUAAUUUUCCGAUAGUAUUUUGUUUUAAAUAAUUACUAGCGAUGUUUUGGAGUUAGUUUGCAAGGUUCCGCCCAAUUGAGUGAUUGAGUUGUGAGUUCCUUGGGUUUUUGUUAGAGUUCUUCCCCUUUCUUUCCUUUGUCUAGUAGAAAAAACAUGCAUUAAUUGUACGCAAUUUAAUUAAUCUAUAUAAACUAAUUACUUAAUUGAGUAAUUACCAUCUCACGUAAUUUGAAUAUUCAAUAAAGUUUUUGUAUCUCAAUAUAUAUAUAAGGUUGAGAUACAAUAACAAUGUUAUUUUUUGUGAGAAAUGAGUAUAACAAAUAAGCCAAUAUAAAUAUACCAAUAAAUUGUAAUGCACUAAUAAGCCAAUAUAAUUAAAUAUAACCCAAAACCCUUAGAAUUUAUUUUCUAGACUAGACUAUUUUCGAACUCAAGUGUUAGAGUUCAUUUUCUAGUUAGACUGAAGCGGCAAAGCUUGAAGACUAAAGACUGAUGAAGACCUGACUGAAGAAUCUCGAUUGAAGUACUGACCAACUGAAAGCUCACCUGAAGUUAUUGCAACAAUAAAUGAAGGACUUGUACUGGUGAAGAAGCAAUCUUUAGUCAAAACAUUCUCUGAAGACUUGUUUAAGGAUCAGAAGAAUACAGCGGACUGAAGCUACAAAAAGACGGACUGAAGAUGCAUUAAAGUACAUAUCACUUAGACGAAUAAAGACAAAGGAUAUCGUCUGGUACACGCCGCAUUAAAUGCAAAGGACAGUGCAUUAAAUGCUGAGAUAUAACAAAUCGUCCUUCACCGAGCAGAGUUACUUCAUUCGUGUUACAUUUCACUGUAACACCAUCUCCCCAUGCCUGAAGACCUUACCCAUUUCGGCGAAAAGGGAGAUAGAGGACGAAGACCCUGAGCACAGAUUAAAUCAAGUGUCAACGGCAGUAUUUGAAGAAGGACCUCCUCCAACGGAUCUAUUCAUCAUCCUCUGCCUAUAAAUAGAGCUCAAGGAACACCCUUCAACCUCACCAAUUCAAAGACUUAAAAAGAUGCUCUGCCAAAAUAUGGAGUCCAGCCACUACUUAACUAUCAAACUUGAAUCGAAGAAGAGAGUAAACCUUGUUGUAAAAAUCAAUUUACCUGAUUUAUGAACAUUCUCUUAGAAGUGUCUAGGCAAUCAUAUUCUUACAUCCUUAGCCUAAUCCUUGAUUACUCGAGAGCCUGUUCUAGUAAUCUUAGUUGGAAGAUUUUCAAACCCUUUUUCAAUCGAGAGAAAAGAGCGUUUGAGUGUUGGAGGUUUAGACAGUUGUCUAAACUCAAAAGUUCUCAGCCCCCGC
This 60679-nucleotide long non-coding RNA is filed under the name Salvia miltiorrhiza (redroot sage). RNAcentral describes it as "long non-coding RNA (SMIL_LNC006533)". Lineage: Eukaryota; Viridiplantae; Streptophyta; Magnoliopsida; Lamiales; Lamiaceae. The record is from RNAcentral.